CUGCUCUGGGUUUAUUUGGGCUGAAACAUAGCCAACUGGACUUAACUUAAGUAGGCUGACGUCGGUAUGUUUUGGGCUCUAUUGGGCCGCGCUUUCUAUUGGGCUGUGAACAGUGGGCCUAUGGCAGGUUGCCUUUCCCUACCAUUUAUUCAAUCUCAAUCAUGACACCGAAUCAAUUGUUUCACAUUUUUAUUUAUCCUACAAAUUUAAUCUAUUCAUUGCUCAUCCAAGAAAAAAAAUGACUGACAAAUAUUAAACCUGAAAAUUUUAAUGGACAUGCCUAAUCAAAACACACAAGUCAACCACAUUAAAGAACAAAAACCUGUUGUUAAUUCUUUCCUAUAGGUGCUAUACAUCAAAAACAGGGUGAGUGAUAUUUUGAAAGGAGAAAGGAGAGGGUGAGUGAUAUUAAUUUUGCAGCUCUAACCACAUCUAAUCAUGGUUGAUUAAUCAUCUCUAUGUUCCAACUCCCUCCCCAGAAGCCAUUUUCAGCUACUUCUUGUUGUUCCCCCUAAACCUGCUCUUCACCACCCUCGUCGCUGUCGUUGUCACCUCCUUCAGCUUCUUUCUGGCUACUCUCUCUGUCUAAAUUCGGGGCUUUGAUCGGCAGAGGCUCAACGUCAUCAGGAGGAUCAUAGUUUGGGUCAGCUAGAAACGUGAGCGCCGUCACCACGUCGCUGAUCAGAGGCCGGCUGCUCGCCUCUUCUUGCAAGCACAUCGAUGAGAUUGCCAGUGCCUGGUACAGCCCUUUCAGUGGGAACUUCAUGUCCAGCAGUGGAUCAGCCAUCUUCACGAACUUCUUCUUGUCCCUGAACAGUGGCGCUGCCUGCAUUUCAGACAUACAGUAUAAGAUCACCAUCUUGAUUCUGAACUGAACGAGAAAUUUUCAUUGACUGAAUUCUGAAUCUCUGAUCUUUUUUUCACGAACACGUCAAUAUAUUAGAAAAAGAGCAGCAUACAACUGUGGCACACUGAGGCGAAUAUAAAGGAAUGUUACCCAGUGAACAAGAAUCUGCUCGCGAGUGGGCUUGGUGGUGUCGAUGGCUCGGCGGCCGGUGAUGAUCUCGAGGAGGACGACGCCGAAGCUGUAGAUGUCGGACAUCUUGGUGAGCUUGCCGGUCAUGGCGUACUCGGGGGCGCAGUAGCCGUACGUGCCCAUCACCCUGGUGGUGACGUGGCUCUUGUCGCCGACGGGGCCCAGCUUCGCCAGCCCGAAAUCCGACAGCUUCGCGUUGAACCCGCCGUCGAGGAGGAUGUUGGACGCCUUGAGAUCCCGGUAGAUCACCGGCGGGUUGGCUAUCUCGUGCAGGUACUCCAUCCCUCUCGCCGCGCCCACCGCGAUCUUCAUCCGCGUGUGCCAUGACAGCGGCGACGAGUUCGGUGUCAGAUCUGCACAAAAAUUCAGAACAAAAAAAAUCAUGAACUUUAGCUCAAACCCGUCUGCAUUUUGCUAUGCAGAUGUAAUGAUAGUUACUAUACCUAGGAGAUGAUCUUGCAAUGAACCGAGUGGCAUGUACUCGUAGACCAGGAUUCUCUGGUCGCACUCGGUGCUGUAACCGAGCAAGGUGACGAGGUUGGGGUGAUGGAGAAGGCUAAGCAUCAGCACCUCGACGAGGAACUCGCGGUUCCCCUGCAAUCCAUCCUUGUCCAGCUGCUUAACCGCUAUGACCUGUAUGAACAUGGACACAAAUUCACAUCAGAUACAUGCUACUGAUGCAUUCAUCAGUCAUCACUGAAUCUUUCAGGGUGUCAGGUUGAUGAAGAGACUGAGGAAGGACAGUUCACAGUUAAAUUCCGUUCAAAAAAAAAAACAGUUCACAGUUAAAUGGUGCUUACUUCCUUGGUGUCUGGGAUGAAUCCUUUGUAGACUCUCCCGAAUCCACCUUCACCAAGCAGGUUUUCCGGGCUGAAAGAGCCGGUUGCAUCGGCCAGCUGACGGAACGUGAAUACUCUGCUUGGAAUGUUGUGGUUGCCGAUCCGUAGUAUCUCUCCUGCCGCUGCCCUGUUCCUGGUACUAUCUGCACGAACAAAGUUUAGGAUCUUGUUAGCUUAUCAGCCGUAACCAAAUUUUAAAUUUCGACACUCCAAUUUUAGAAUUGAUUUUGAAGUUUCUUUUUUCAAUGUAGAUUUUUUUUUCAACCUUACCUAACACAGUUAAUAAUACAAAUAUAAAGGUUUUACUCAUAAAUUAUUUUUAGUUGCUUUCCUUUAUUUUUCUCUGACUUAUAAGUCAUAGCUCAAAGGUGAAACUAGGUCAAGAGCAUGGUAAUUUUCAGAUGAAUUAUACAUAUCACAUUUUCGCCUUUAUAAGAUAUAAAAGGAGAUAUUUUUGCUAUUUCGGCACGAAGAAAUCAGGAAAAGAAAAAAGGGAAGAAAUGGUAGUAUAUUUUAUUACUCUCGAGGGAGAUCUCCUUGACGAGGCUGGCCAAGCCGGUCGGUUGGGUCUUGCCCUUCUUCUUCUUCCAAUUCUUCUUGGUCCCCCACUUGUUCUUCUCCAGCUCCGGGCUCGUCGCGGCGCUCUUCCUCUUCUUCAUCGUCUCCAGCGUCAGCGGCUCCUCCGCCUCCCGCGCGGCCUUGCCGAAGACGCCGCGCACCACCCACUUCCGCUUCUUCCUCUUCUUCGCGUCCGACGCCGCCGUGUCCUGCGCCGACGUCGUCGCCCCCCCGCCGCCGCCGCAGAAGCCGCGGAUCCACGAGCAGCAGCUGGCGCAGCCGCCGCGCACCCAGGAGCAGCAGCAGCACGACCUGCUCGCCGAGCUCAGCAGCCCCAUCGCCGGAUCGACGCGAGAGUGGGCGAGCACCCUCGUGCCGACCCCCGCGCGCCGCCGCCGACGCCGACGACGACGCCGCGGGGUGACGAUCUCCUCCCGCGGCGAGAAGAACACGGCAUGCAAGGCGCUGGAAAAAUAAAAAUGAUGUUCUAUUUUUUUUUCUCUGUGGAUGGGAAUGAGCCUGCCAGACUCUGUUUUUCUCUGGAUUGAUAAAAAUGGAAGGCCUGAAGCCAAGUGCGUCUCUGUGUUUUUAAUGGUUGUUAAUUUUAGCAACACUGUUAUUUCCAUUCCCUAAUUUUUCGCAUUAAAAAUUGGUGUUAGUUUCUUUGCCAUGGUUGAUGGUUAGCCGAGGAUGUUUGCAUGAUAGGGAUUAAAACAUUGGAAAACAGUCUAAACCAUUUCCAUAAUCAUAUUUUUCUCGAAAAUAAAAUCAAAAACAGUAAAAUUGGAAACGAAAACAAUAUCGAAAAUAUUGAAAAAUUGGAAAAAUACGGAAUGAAACAUGACGGUACAUAUUGGAAAACGGUAGCAAAUACAGAAACAUUAAACCAUAAAAACGUAUAUUUAACUUUGCAUAACUAUGUAAUAUAUAUAAAUAAUUCAAAUUUAUACUAUAUAAAUUAUAAAUUAACUCCAUUUUAGACAUGCAUUCAAGUUAUGUAUUUGAUUGAAUGAUCAAUCAAUCUAAAUUGUAGGUCAAGUAGAGACAUACUCUAUAAAUAUAUAAAUAUAUAGACAUAUUUAGAAGUACAACAAUUUUAAUUUUCACAAAAUCACGCUAAAUAUGGAACCAUUUCCAUUUUCAAUAUUAUUUAUUAUUUCUAUUUUCGUUUUGGUCGAUUACCAUUUUCAUAUAACUCGGCCGGCAGAAAGUCAGAAACGAACGCCGAUCGGCCAGAAAUUUCCAUUACCUUUUUCUGUGAUUUUAUAAUCCUUAAGUGUCGCACCCCAAUCUAAUACCGCCGUACAACGGCACCUGACAGGAGCAUGUCAUAGGGAAAACGGCGCGAACCGCUUCCUACGAAACCGCGAUCUCGGUACCAGUCCCAGGACAUAGUGCUGGUACCCACGGUGACAAAUAUGAAUCAUAGCAAUCCUUAAAAUAAAUAGAGGACUUAUUUACCUUAACACCAACAGCAGCAGCAACAGCAGCGGAACCAACGGUCUAACACCCAACACCACAGGCGACGGCUGGGAACCAGGACGAAACCCUAAUCUUCACUUCACUUUAUCUUCUCUUCAGGGCAGAGGAACUAUAUAUAUAUAUAUUUAUAUAGAGCAAGGGUGAGUACUUUCGUACUCAGCAAGUCACGGGAACUUAGGUGGUUAAUGCAAGCUUGGAAGAGAGGCAAGGUUGUUUUGCAAAUCUUUUGUUUGAAAUCAUUUUGAAACCACUAAGUGAUUUAUUUCUUUCUAAGUUUGGGCCGAAAAGAGACUUGCGUCUCGAUUCGACUUUAAGAGAUGUUUUUCAACAGCUCAUUUAGUAAUGUACCGACCUCCCGGGUCAGAUCAUUACUUCUCGGCUCCCAGAGCCAUUCCACUUGAUUAAUCGGCUCCCAGAGCCUUUUUCAUUUUCUCGGACUCCCAGAGUCCAGCUGCCCAGCAGCACAACAAUCCGCUUCCACUCGGGAAGCCUAGUCUAUGAUGCCCGCAGACAUCCCGAAUCACACAGAUUCGUUUCUGACCACUCAGGUCGUCCAUCUGCCACAUAGGCUGAUUCUGGUUACGAUUCCCACACCACAACAACUUUUCACAAAGCACAGGCAAACAAAUCUACGCAACGGGAACCACCUCACAUCCGCCCAUGACCGUGGGCACGGCUGUUCGAACAGUUAGUUAACCUCUGCAGAGGGGUACACUUUAUCCACAAGAUACGAACUUAUUCCGAACACCCGUCGGUAUCGGAGGUUCGCAACAAAGCCUUUCCCAAGCCGACCCAGGGAUACCUCAUGCCACAUAGAAGGAUCAAAUCCUCACAUAAACAUAGGCCAUUUUAGGCGUUCACAAUUCAAACUCCAACCACCUCGAUCGGUAAUUCAGCAAGCUUCUCGUUCUUGCAUUACCAGGAACCCGGUUUGGCUCCAACCGACCCCGCCCCGGCGUUCCCAACUAUUGGCAUGCGAGGUUUCCCUGAACCGACUAGUUACUUAGCCAGGGUGUCCCAUUCCACCUUGUGGUUGCACUUUGAUUAUGUUCGAUGAGUUUCCCACAGGAAUCGGUCCUUAUAUGCGAAUACGGGACAGUGCCACAUAGGCACAACCCCCGCAUCGCGAGUUUUCACAAUUCAUUUUAUUUUCAAACACACCGACACCACAUGUCGGGUUUUGAAGGCUUCACAAACCCAUUUCCCAAGUUUUCGACAAACAACGGUGUAUGUGGGAUAUUUGGUAUACACGCUUAGAGAGCACGAAUACCGAGGUACCACAAGGGUGGAGCGACAAGGAAUCAGGGUAGUACGACCUACGGAAAUUAGUGCGACUACUGGGUAGGUCCGUCGGUUUGUCACGCAAACCGAGGCCAAGCAAGUUAAGUGUGUGAUUCUACUAAUGCAAGUUGAAAACAAAAUAAUAAUGAAUUUCCAAUUAUAGGAGCAAAUGAUCAAAGGGUGACUUUCCUUGCUCAAGGUCUUCACGAAGCUUCACGAAUCUUCGAGAAAUCCCACGAUCGACAAAAAUCCGGUAACCGCAACUAUACGCAAUCAAUCAAAACCUAAACAAAAGACCAAGAAAAGGAUCCUAUUUAGACUAAAUAAUAGUGCCAUUAAAUAGAUCUCAAUUUUACGGGAAUACUGGAAGUGGAACGGGGUUAAUCGGAAUUACGGAUCGGGAGAUAUGAAUUUUGGGAGUUUAAUUGGAAUUUCUGGACAAGGAAAUGAUUUGUCGAAAUUUUUUUUUGAAUGCGGGCAAUGAUUUAUAAAUUUUAUAGAAAAGAAUAUUCUUGAGAAUUGACACGUGGGACCAACAUAUGGUGAGAGAGGUGAAUUGGGAGGGAGCAGAUAUGGACUUUUGGUCACUGCAUUUGGGAAGGGAGCAAAGAUGGACUUUAGCUUUUGGGUGGGGGUACUGGGCUCGGCAUGAGGGAAUAUAACUGGACUUUGGUUGAUUGGACCGGGGGAGCAGCGCAGCCCAACGGCUGGCGAGGCCGAGAGAGGGGGGGGGCUGGCUGACGGGGCGUCAGCUUGACCCGGUCAAGCCCACGUGGACAGCCACGUUGGAUGGAGGAAAGGGAGGGGAGGCCGGGCGGCCGAUCUGACGGCUGGCGGCGAGCGGUGCAUACCGGCGAGCGGCGGCGAACCGGGAGGGGCGGCGUGCACCGGAAGCAAGCGGGGAUCAAGGGGAGCUAAUUCAACGGUGCGGAUGAGGGAGAGGUGGCGCUGCAGCGGCUGGCGAGGCGGGCGGCCGCGGCGGCGCGCCGGGGAGGCUCGAGAGGGCUCGGGGGUGGUGGCGGCGCCGGGAAUCGGCGAGAGACCGGCCGGCGGCGGCGCGCGACGGCGCACGGCGGCGGCGGAAGCAGAGCUACGGCGGGGCGGCACAACACUGAGUGGGGCGUCGCCGGGAAAACAGAGAGGGGGCGCGAGAAAUUACGGGAGGACGACGGCGAGCUGGUUAGACGAGAGAGAAGGGCCGACGACGGCGCGCGACUGCUCGGUGGCGGACGCAGCACCGCGUGUGGUACGAGGAGGAAGAAGGCGGUGAUGCGGAAACAGAGCGCACGGCGAGCUACGCGAGUGCGGGGACGGCGAAAAAGGAAGCUGAGGAGCUCACCGACGGGAGGAACGGUGUCGGCGGCGAAUUGGGGAUGGGAAGGGUUGGAAGGCUGAGGGUGGCACGCGACCGAGCGGCGGCGCACGGCGGAUGACGCCGAGGCGGCGCGGUGUCGAGGCGUGUGCGCCGGGGAAGGAGAGAUGGAGUGCGGCGAUGGGGCGGCGCAGAGCUCCUCGUUGACUCCUCGUGCGCACGUCGGCUUCCCGGCACGCGCGACGGCGGAGGAAGGGCGACAAUGGCGCGGCGGCAGAGGGAAGUAAAACGGGAAGAAAAGAGGGGGAGCUCGGGCUUGGGUUUUAUAGGUGAGGAGGAGAGGUCGGUUUGGAGGAGGGAAACCGACCUUGGCGGUCGAGCGCUCGGCUGGCGCUCGGCGGGCGGUCACGAGCGGGAGCAGCGUUUUCGCGGGCUGCGCGAAACGUGGCGACGGCGAGGAUGCGAAGGGGCGGUGGAGGCGGUGGAUCGUACGGCGGGAAUUGAAUCGCGGGCGCGGGAGCAUCGGCGUGGCGCGGUCAAGGUGGGGGCACAGGCGCGGCAGGACGUUGUCGGCGUCCUCUGCCUCCGCGCGCAAGAAGACAAGGGCGAGAGGAGAGAGGCCGGGUUUAGAAGGGAAAAAGUGAGGGAGGACGGUGGAAAGGGAAGCCUCUCCCUUCCGUUUUGGGCGGCGGGCAGGCGAGGCGCGUGGGAGCGGCGUCCUUGCCGGUCGGCCAUGCGCGCGAGAAUCGGCAGCGUGGCUGGGAUUUUGGGCGGCGUCGGCGGGAGUCAAUGAGAGAGAGAGGGAGAGAGAGAGAGAGAAAGGGUGAGAGAGAGCGAGGAAGAAGGAGAGAGCGAGCGCACACGCGCAACGCACGUGCGAGGGGGAGGAGGAGGAGCGGCUGAGAGGAGAUGGGCCGAGGGAGGCAAAAUAGACUUUUUCGGAGGAGAUUGAUUCGAAGAGAAUUUGAACUUGGAAUUUGACUUAGAUUUUGGAAUUGGGAUCUGGAUGAGAGGAAGGAGUAGACGGAGGAUUCAAGAUGGGGUUUUGGAUAUUUUGGAUCCGGGGAAGUAUUUUGGCGAUGAUUCAAAGAGAGGGAUAGAAUUUCAGAGUUUGAUUUGGAGACUUGAGUCGGAAGAGGAAUUUCGAGGAGGCAAUUUUUGAUGGUGACGAGAGGGAUCAAGGACGGAUUUGAAUUGAGAUCUUGGCACAACUUAGACUCGCAUACAAAGAACGGAAAUUUUCGCAUAUAAGAUUUUGCCGAAUUAGUUUUUAACGUCUCACGAAAAGCGGAGCGUUACAUUAAGGUACUAGGAAGUACCAUAUUUUCUAGUAUAAAAUUUGAUAUCUCUCAAUAUUAUUUCCAGUAAUAGGAGAUAUCAAAUUUACAUUAAAAAUGUUGGUGCCCGUUGCUACCUCUUAACGCCGGUAAAAUUUCUCUUUGUUUUUUUUUUUUGUCAAGGUUCUGAUUUUGAUAAUUGUCAAGAACUAUUAUCCAGGGAUUAUUGCAGUAGUAUUGAAGAAUAAAAUUGUCCAGAACGCACAAAAUCAUAUAUAGUACUUUAUCACCAGCUAUUUUGUUUUCAAAACAUUUCAUUAUUCAUUAUUUGUUUUGAUCACUAUCUCGUUGCAUGCAACACAGCAACGGUGUGAUCCUACUAGCUAUGAGGCAAGCCAGCUAAGCCUAGUACUGGCCGGCGGCGAAGAUGCUGCACUGCUGGGGCUCAACCCGGCACAUCGACGGCAGCUGCGCCGCGUACUGCCUCGCCCUGGUCAGCCUCACGCGGGUCAUCCCCGGCUGCUGCUGCUGCUCGCCGUAGUAGCCCUCCUCCGACGACCCCUCGCCGUAGUACCCCUGCUCCGACGACGACCCCUCGCCGCCGUAGUACUCCGACGACGACGACGACCAGCCUUGCUCCAGGGGCAUCGGCAUGCUCUCCUCGUAGCUCCUCACCAUCCGGCGGAUGGCGGCGCAGCGGCACUCGCGGCUCACGUCCUGCAGCUGCUGGCAGCACUGCAUCCGCAGGCCGAGCGCGCCCGGGCGGCGGAACAUCGGCUGGAACCUCUCCCGGCCGGUGAGCUGCCGGUCGAGCACCUGCCGGCACGCGUCCAGCGGGCUGUCCUGCACCUCCCGCUGGCACUGCCUGUCCCUGAACCUCAUCUCCGACUCGCUCAGCUGCGCGCCGGAGAUGGCCACCAUGGCCGCCAUGAGCGCCGCCGCGAAGAAGACGACCUUGCUAGCCAUUGAUGAUCAAUCAGACAAUCACUAGAAGUGUAUAUGUUUUUUUUCCUCUUUUGUUUGUUGGUGAUGAACUGAUGAUGAGAUGAUGGCGAUCGGAUGGGGUUUUAUAGGGUUUUUGUGGCCAUGGUUGUGUGCACGGUGAGCUUCGUGUAGAUCAAGUAGAAGCUUGAGGGUGACAUGGAUCGGUUGGAAAAAGAGCAAGAGUACAAUGCUGCAAAGAGUGAAAAAGGUUUCCAAGAUUUGGAGCUUGCAAAAAGAUUUUUUUUUAUUUUUCUCUUGGUGUUGGGUAAUUUCUGAAGUUAUGUAUGUGGCAGAUAACACUUUUGUGUCACCUAUUUUUGUCAUAAAGAGCGGCUUUACGUUUGCCUCUGAUAAAAGAUUAAUGGAUGUAUCUACACUAAUGAGAUUGUCCUAGGGAUAACUCUUAGCUCUUUGUGACGUGGUGGAAAUGUGCAGAAAAUGUGUGUAACUGCGCAUGUUGCUUGUUGGUAGUAGUUUUGUACUUUUAUGGGUGACUGAAAGAAGGCAAUUAUCUAUUUUAAAAAGGCCCUUUAAUUUGAGGAGGAUUGGAAGCCCACGGUAUAUAUGGCUCACAGAAUAUUUUGAAAUGGAAUAAGUUCAUUUAAGGUCCCUUAACUUGUCAACAAAUUUGAUUUUCGUCCUUCAAUCGAAAAACCAGAUACAACGGGUCCCUCAACUAUCAAAACCAGUGCAGAUGAGGUCCCUCGGCGGUUUGGAUGGUGGUUUUGGCUGACGUGGCGCUUACGUGGCUAAUUUGACUCGGUCUUCAUCUGACGUAGCAUUGACGUAGCGCUUACGUGGCAAUUCGAUCCGAAAAAUAAUAAAUCUCAUGGGACCCACAUGUCAGUUUCAACAAAAGAAUGAAUUAAAAAAUGGUGGGGCCCACAUGGCCCCACAUAUCAUUGUCACCCCUCCUCUUCUUCCUCCUCUCUCACCAUCUCUCCCCUCUCCUCCCUCCAGGCGCCACGGGGCCACGGGGAGGUCCGGCGGCGGCGGCCGGCGACGUGGGAGAAGGGCAGUGGGCAGGGCGUCGGCGGCGGGAGCGCUGGGUCUUCGCUCACGGCGUCGGCGCGGACCCCGCGCGGGGGCUCGUGGAGGAGAUCGGGGCCGCGGCGCGCCGCCCGUCUCCGACGAGCUAGAGCUCGUGCGAGCGCAGUGCCGGGAGCUGCACGACUGCCGACGAGAAGCAGAGGAGGUUCGAGGUGUACAGGAGCAACGUUGAGCUUGUUGAGAAGUUCAACUCCAUGUGCAAUGGCUACAAGCUGGCUGACAAGAAGUACGUUCGCCGACCUGACGAACGAGGAGUUCAGAGCCAAGAUGCUGGGGUUCAGACCUCAUGUCGCAAUUCCUCAGAGCAAUGCCUGGAGAGAGCAGUGAUGAUAUUCUGCCGAAGAGCGUAGAUUGGAGGAAGAAAGGAGCAGUGGUGGAAGUGAAGUACCAAGAAGAUUGUGGUGUGUGAGCAAUAGCAUGGUAAAGAAAGAUUCAAACCUGUAAAAAUGUUGGAGAUUAAUCGAUGGAAAUCUGGGUGUUGUGUGGAUGCAGGUUCUUGCUGGGCGUUCUCCGCCGUGGCGGCGAUAGAGGGGAUCAACAAGAACGGUGAGCUGGUGUCGCUGUCGGAGCAGGAGCUCGUAGACUGCGACGACGAGGCCGUGGGGUGCGGCGGGUACAUGAGCUGUUCGAGUUCAUCGUCGGCAACCACGGCCUCACCAGUCACCACGGAGGCGAGCUAGCCGUACCACGCCGCGAACAGCGCGUGCCAAGCGGCGAAGCUGAACCAGAGCGCGGUCAGCAUCGCGGGCUACCGGAACGUGACACCAGCAGCGAGCCCGACCUGGCGAGGGCUGUGGCGACGCAGCCGGUGUCCGUCACCGUCGACGCCGGCAACUUCAUGUUCCAGCUCUACGGCAGCGGUGUCUACACAGGGCCGUGCACCGCCGUCCGCCGACGUCAACCACGGCGUCAUCGUGGUGGGCUACGGCGAGUCCCCCAACACUCCCGCCACUGACGGCCCGCCCUUCCCCCGCGUCGUCGGCCGCCGCCGCCAGACCUCCCCGUGACCCCGUGGCGCUGGAGAGAGGAGAGGGGAGAGAUGGGGAAAGAGGAGGUGUGAGAAUGCUACCCACCAUUUUUUAAUUCAUUCAAACUGACAUGUGGGUCCCAUGAGAUUUAUUAUUUUUCGGAUCGAAUUGCCACGUCAAUGCUACGUCAGAUGAAGACCGAGUCAAAUUAGCCACGUAAGCGCCACGUCAGCCAAAACCGCCAUCCAAACCGUCGAGGGACCUCAUCUGCACUGGUUUUGAUAGUUGAGGGACCCGUUGUAUCUGGUUUUCGGUUGAAGGACGAAAAUCGGAUUCGUUGACAAGUUAAGGGACCUCAGAUGAACUUAUUCCUUUUGAAAUCUGGAUCAAAAUGUAGACUUCCUGGUAGCCCCAACAUUACCGCUAUGGGCCACGGAUGGGCCUACUGUUUGGGCCCAAUUGGGUCUAAUAUUCAGGCCCAACCGCCCAAGAGCAACGUCCAUGUUGGGCCGGUUUAAUGGUCACAUCUGCCUUCAGACUGCUAGCAAUCGGCCUGGUUAACCGGUUUAACUUCCAUUUUUUUAAAAAAAAAAAAAUCCUCGUCAACUAAAAAAAAAGUGACUCGUCCCAGCCUCGUGAAGUAUUACCAGUUCAUACUUUGGCUGUGCUAAUCAUUGGCAACUCCGAAGGUGAAAUCUCGUUGUCAAAUGACAAAAGUGAUUUAAGUGAUCAAUCAUUCUACUCGUGUGUGCAGGCAGCUAGCAGAAGGCCACCGGCCACAUGCACUGAUGCACCAUCCAGUUUCUUUAAUUCUUAGCAUCUCUCCAAGCAGCCUGCAGUUAGCAGAGUGUACUGGGGACAAAAGAAUCGGAGUUAGAUAGCACAGGUUAAUUAGCUUCCAGAAACUGGAAAAAAGAAACGGAGCAAGUAAGCUAGCUAGCUAACUAAAACAGUUCAGUUCACUGAGAUGAUGAGUCGCCAUUGCUGCUGUUUCUGAACUGUCUAGUGUCUACUAGUUGCCCAUGUGGCCAUGAGAGAUGAGCCCCCCGAUGAAAGCUGGUGUUUGUUUCUGCUUCUGCCUACCUGCUAUGCCUUUUCUGAACAAAAUGAUACCACUUCAACUACCUAACAGUGUGUCCACUGGUCCAUCCAUCUACGAGUUGUUGCAGGCUUAGCCGGCGACCCGGCGUCUCUCGUGCGUGCGGAUGAUUGAUCAAUUCCAGCGCGGCGACGCCGACGCCGCCGCCGGAUGUUCGAUCGAUCGCUUCUCAUAUCAUCGUGUAUUCGUGGUGAUCGCUGAUCAGAGCUCUCUUUCCUGUUAGUUGCACAUGUGCAUUCCGGCUCUGACGACUCAAAAUGCAUCGUCAGCUGCUUUGAGUUUUCAGUUUGUUCGUUUCUCCUUUUUGUUGGUGACUGGUCGUCUCGCUUGAUUCAACCUAGCUAGCUAUAGCUUUCAGGUGUAAACUUGAGCUGGAUCGGAGCACUCUCUGAUUGGAUUUUCAGCUCGCCGGUUCACUGUGUUCAUUUAUUUCAGGAUUUGAAAAAAAGGGGAUAGUUAGCUAGGAAUGGCUCAGCUGACGGACAACGUGUUGUGGACUCAUCGAUCAGGCCUGUCGCGUGCAAUGAACGAUACGUAAGUUAAUUCAGUACAUAAGCGUAGAGUUUGUACUUUUUGCCUACUACUACUUCGGUUCUGCUCAUGAUUCAGGGUUCAGGACAUCGUCUGGAUUUCUACAUUCAAACAGGCAAAUAUAACCAGUACUUAGUGUAGACGGAUUCUAAUCACCCAGUGGACAUUCACUUGUUUAUUAUAUGUCAACUAAAUAGUUAUAAAAAAUUUUUAAUUUUUUUUGACAAGAUAGAUUAAUAUGUAAUAUAUCAUUCCACAAACAUGCAAGUUGAAAUUUAAUUUCUAUAAGUCGUAACAAAAACAACAAAUUUAACUGCAAAUAUACAUAUACUAAUUUGAGUUUUAUUUGUUAUUUUUCUUUUACAAUUUGUAGAAGUUAAAUUUUAAGUUGCAUGUUACGUUUGUGGAGUGAUAUAUUACAUAUUGAUUUAUCUUACCAAUUUUUUCAUAAUUAUUUAGAUGACAUGCAUUAAACAGUGCACAUCCAUUCGGGUGAUUAAAAGAGUUUCCCCAUAAUAAUCCUAACUCUCGUUCUAGAACCCAAAUAUUAAACUUAUAGCAUAUUUGUCAUUUUUCACUCCUUAAAUGGAUGUUCCCUCGUUUCUCGCAUGCUAUCUAAAUAGUUAUAUUUUUUAAAUAAUAAUAAUAAUAAUAAUAAUAAUAAUAAUAAUAAUAAUAUAGAUCAAUAUGUAUAUCAUUCUACAACAUGUAGGUUUAAGUUCAAGUCAUUUUUUUCAUAAUUGUUUAUACGAUAUAAAUAAAACAAGGGGACAUCUGAACAAAAGAGAACUAUCUCAGAAGAAAGCAGCAUUUUUUUUAACUCCCAUUCUAGUACUGAAUCUUGAACCCAAAUAGGUAAAGAGGUUAAACGGCACAUUUGCCAUUUUUUUACUACAUUUUCACAUAACUAACUUAUCAGAAGCGCAGGAUGGUACAUGUUCUCCCUCCGUUUCAAAAUAUUUGACACCGUUGACUUUUUAGCACAUAUUUGACCGUUCAUCUUAUUUAAAAAUUUUUGUGAAAUAUGUAAAACUAUUUGUGUACAUGAAAGUAUAUUUAACAAUAAAUCAAAUGAUGUGAAAAGAAUAAAUAAUUACUUUAAUUUUUUGAAUAAAACGAAUGAUUAAACACGUACUAAAAAGUCAACUGUAUCAAACAUUUUAAAACGGAGAGAGUAGUUAAUUAAGGUGUGAAAUGGUAUUGUUUCCUCGGGCAUUAAUCUUUGUCAGUUGCUACAGCCUGCAACAGUGCACAUGGCUUGAACCGAUGGUUACAGGCCACAGAAAAAAAAAAGGGAAUCCACAGUACUUUGUCUGAUCAUCACCUCUAAAGUUAAUCAACAUGACAGCAUGUGGAUAAUCUCCCACGUCCUCUCAGUUGCGGUUCAGAAGUUCACAGCGAGAAAUAAAUUACUCUUCAAAUUGACCAACUUUGCUUUAGAUUCCAUGCAAAGCACACGCCUACAGGAUCGAUCAAGCAGCAGAGACAUCUCGCACUGAUUUUGUCAGUACAACGUACAAAAAUACGUUCUCGAUCGACGAAUUCUUCUCCUCAUCUCUUUCGCUGCUGCUGCUGGCCUGCUGCUAACAACCAGUAGGUGCUGCAUUCUUGACUCCUGCCCGGCGCCCGCGAUGAUCAGAACUCCACAACCAACUGUUUCCGUAGCCGAUUUUAAAAAAGUUUUUGCAGUACAAUUGGUACUUCGUUCUUGGAUGGCAAUUAGUAUCUGAAUGCGUACCUGCUACAAGAAAGAUUCGGCAAAGCGAAAACAAGAACAGCUCAUUGUGCCAUUUGCAUAAUUUGCAUGCGUGAUUCUUCAGAAAGUGCAGCUAGCAGGUAGCUAAGCCAGCCUACCACAUGGGGGAAUAGGGACAGGAUGGGCCAGGACGGCGCCGCGCUAUAAAUCUCGCGCCAAUUCUUGCCCGCAAAUUCAGCAGCAGCAGCUACCAGCAACAAGCAUUCUCUUCUAGCCUUAGCCUAGCUAGCUAGCUUUGUUGUCUAGCUCUGAUCGAGGUUGGUGGUGAUCAUGGCGUCGUCGAGGGUGAUCCUAGCGCUGCUGCUCGCGGCGGCGGCGGUGAUGGCGUCGUCGGCGCAGCUGGACGAGAAGUUCUACAGCAAUUCGUGCCCCAGCGUGGAGGCCGUCGUCCGGAAGGAGAUGGUGCGCGCGCUCGGCGCCGCGCCCAGCCUCGCCGGCCCGCUCCUCAGGAUGCACUUCCACGACUGCUUCGUCAGGGUAAGCUGUGCAUGCAGUGUCCAUUCUCCAUUGCGUCGCGGCUGCUGGUGUAUAGUAGUAGUGUUCGAUCAGGUCGCCUGACAACCUCGUCGCCGGCCGGCGUCGACUGUCUGUGCAUGCAGGGUUGCGACGGCUCGGUGCUGCUCGACUCGGCCGGGAACAGCACGGCGGAGAAGGACGCGACGCCGAACCAGACGCUGCGCGGGUUCGGCUUCGUCGAGAGGGUGAAGGCCGCCGUGGAGAAGGCAUGCCCGGGCACCGUCUCCUGCGCCGACGUGCUCGCGCUCAUGGCCAGGGACGCCGUGUGGCUGGUGAGUAGAGUAUAGUACACUGCAAUGCACGCAUGACACGUGUACUCUGACACAGUUUGCAGAAGCAAAAAGUUCUCACCUCGACUUGUCGUCGUCGUUGUCUUCUCUUCCAGAGCAAGGGCCCGUUCUGGGCGGUGCCUCUCGGCCGCCGCGACGGCAGGGUGUCCAUCGCCAACGAGACCGACCAGCUGCCGCCUCCCACCGCCAACUUCACCGAGCUCACCCAGAUGUUCGCCGCCAAGAACCUCGACCUCAAGGACCUCGUCGUCCUCUCCGGUAACCAUCACCAUUGCCACCACACAAACUCUCUUCACACACGUACACACAUCCAUCCAUGGUGUCUGACACGAUCCAUUGUCGAUGUUGAUCAGCUGGGCACACGAUCGGGACGUCGCACUGCUUCUCCUUCACUGACAGGCUGUACAACUUCACCGGCCUGGACAACGCCCACGACAUCGACCCGACGCUGGAGCUGCAGUACAUGGCGAGGCUGAGGAGCAAGUGCACGAGCCUCCAAGACAACACGACGCUGGUGGAGAUGGACCCGGGGAGCUUCAAGACGUUCGACCUGGGGUACUUCAAGAACGUGGCCAAGCGGCGGGGGCUCUUCCACUCCGACGGCGAGCUGCUCACCAACGGCUUCACCCGCGCCUACGUGCAGCGCCACGCCGGCGGCGGCUACAAGGACGAGUUCUUCGCCGACUUCGCCGCCUCCAUGGUCAAGAUGGGCGGCGUCGAAGUGCUCACCGGCAGCCAGGGCGAGAUCAGGAAGAAGUGCAACGUGGUUAACUAAUCAUCUCUCUUAAUUAUCGUCAUAUAUCAUCAGCUGCUCGCCGAGACUGUGAUUAUGGAUUUCAGCUUUUGAUUCCGGCCGUGACCAUCUUAUAAUUAAUUUCCAUGUAGAUCAUUAUCGUAAGAUUUACCUGUCCCUUCUUUUUUUUUCUUGAUUUCAAUCACUUCAUUAAUUAAUUGUUUUGUUUAUAUAGCGAGCCAUGCAUGUAUGUAACAAAGUUUUCUCCAAGUACGUGCUCAUCAUGAUCAUAUGAAUAAACUUCAUUUUUUUUCACCUUGCAUUAUUAUACAUUUAUUAUUUUUUAUCACUCAUUGGUGCCUCUAUCUCUUUGUCAGACAGUUACUCAGUUAUGAUGCCACUGUCGUCAUUUUAACAUGAAAACUAGUAAACCAAAAUGAGUCAUUACUAAAGCUGUAACACACAGCAACGCAUCACAUGGGUUGCACAUCUGAUCAUUCGCAACUGACAACUAUAAUUGGAGGAACAAUCUGGUCAAGAAUGGACUCAUCUAUCAUGCGUGCCAUGACAAGUGUUCCAGGGCAAUUUGAUAAUUGAUAUGCUGUUCAGUACUGUCAGCAGAGUCCCACAAACCUCUCUGGCGCCCUGCAUUUUGUUAACCCCAUUGUGCCUGCAGCUCUCUGGCCUGAAUGUCUGUCCAAACUGAACGACAGAAACAUUUCUUAAGUAGCUUUGGUCACAUGGCAUGCACUUACGAAAAUGCAAUUGAUUAUUGCUGAUCAUGAUGGCAUCUAUGACACCAAAUCAAAUUAAGGCCGGUACGAACAUUGGCUAUUAUUAUACGCGACCGGCCUGUAUAGUAUGAGAUGGGUACUGAUCAGUCCUGACACCCUGAGUGCUAUCUGCGAUCUAUAUUUCCGUAUUGUAACUUCAUCAAGCAGUUAAUAAUUCGGCAAAUUUAGCAUCUCCCACGUUUAACUGAGCACUGGCACACGAACCUACACAUAUGCCAUUUACGCGGGCCGACCUAUUCAAAGGAGGUAUCAAAAUUUAUAAUUAUAAAAAAAAUUAUAUCUCUCGAUAUCUCUCUGGGACAGUAAAUUUUUUUCGAAAUGAUUUAUAUACGCAUGUUCAAGGGUCCUUACUUUUAUGCUCGGCUGCUCAGGGACCUUGAAAUUGGAAGAAUUAAUCUUAACAACAGAUUAGAACGACAAAACCGUUGAUGGAAGAGCUGCUAACGUGUUGUAAACCAAUACGCUUAUUAGUGGAUCAUUGGAUCUGUUCCUUGUUUUUCGCACAACAGUAGAGGCGUAAGAAGAUGUAGAACACAUAUGUCCUUUUACUUGUCCUCGAGAAUAUUGCAGAAAUAGACAAUUGACAUAGAGAUAUAGAAUAGAACUCUCUCUUAUUAGAUUUGUUCUCAAGACUAUCUAAAAAAUUGCUGGAAAAAACUUUCAAAUCUAACUAUAGUAUAAUUAUAAUAUAAUUUCCACUAUAACUAUAGUAUGACAUGUAUAUAAGUAUUAAAAUAAUAUAUGCAACUUUAUAUCUAACUUAUAUAGAGAUUACAAUAUAGUUACACUAUAGUUAUAAUAUUACACUACAACUAUACUAUAGUUACAUUUAAAAGUUUUUUUGCCCAAAAAACUUGGGACGGUUUUUUAGCAAUUCCGUUUGUUCUCGUGUACAAUCAACCAUCAAUGUCUCAUCCUACUCUCUACAUAUAAUAUACAAGGGUCUUAAUAGGAGAUAAAUAUUACUAUCUUUACUCGGCUUUAAAUUGGUCCAGAAGAAACGAACUUUAUCUCCACAGGAGAUAUUAUUUUCCAACUUUGAACACACACCUUUCAACAUAAAAUCCCCACUUGAGCUAACUAGCUUGUCCAUCUAGGCCCAAUAUGGUUGGGCCUGGGUGACCCAAUUCGGCCUGUCUCUCCCAACUAAAAGAAACGUACGGCCUCAUCUGAUACAACCCAACUCCUCAAAGGCCCCAACGCUUUCCCUCGCGAAAACGCCGCGCCACCGAACACCAGCAGCAAGACGCGUCCGCGAACGCGCGCCCUGGGCCGAACGGUUGCCGCACUACAGAAUUUUUUUCGGUUUUAGAUCUUUUGGCCGUACUUUUUUUCAUCUGGGUCCCUUGCCGUCCUCUAUUAGGGCGGCAAGGGAUCCAGAUGAAAAAGUACGGCCGCAAGCUCUUUAUGGGCGGCCAAAAUUGUAAUUAGCCCCUUGCCGCCCUCUGUAUGGGCGGUAAGGGCCUAAUCGCAAUUUUGGCCGACGGCGGCAGACGGCGCGGUCGACCCACCGUCUGCCACGUCAGCUUGCCGCCCACCAUUAGGGCGGCAGGGGCUAUUUCUACAAUUUUUUUGGUCGAUAGAUUAUUCCUGUAAAUAUUAAAAAAAAUCUAAAAACGAAAAAAAUUCUUCCCGCACUACACUGCACUCCGGCGCGCGCACCAACCAACCAACCAACCAACCAACCAACCAACCAAGCCUCCCAACUCCAUGAGCAAGUUGCAGCAGCCGCAGGCCACAGGCUCGAGCUUACUAGCUAGGCGGAGUAGAGUCCGUCGCACUCAACGCUCUGUUUCACACACGCACGCACCCAUCUGAAAGCACGGCGCGACCAAACGCAUCGACCUUUGGUUUGCCCGCGUCUCGUCGCCAUCUUUGUACUACGCCAAUGGCUCUCCGCUGCCUAGCUGCUGCCGCAGUACAGCUUGAUCGUUGCCCGUAACCUCCCGUGGCUCCGAUCCCGUCUCCGGCGCGGCGCGCGGCUCGGCGUUGAGACAGUUUGCCGCCUCAUGUCCCGGGAGCUGGAGCUGCUGCUGUUUUUGCUGGCCCUACGGGCGAGCGGCGAGGUCGUCGCGGGUUCGGCGGAGGCAGCGGCAGCGGCAGCGGCGUGGCCCGCGCUGCAGGUGGGGUUCUACCAUGCCAAGUGCCCUGUCGCGGAGGACGUCGUGCUGGGCGAGAUGAGGAUGAUCCUCGAGGAGGAUCCCACGCUCGCGCCGUCUCUGCUCCGGAUGCACUACCACGACUGCUUCGUCCAGGUAAUUAACAAUUUUUAAUUGCCCCAAGCUACUUCAUGCUCGUCCAUGGCGAUCAUCGUGGUUGGGUUGGUUGCAGGGGUGUGACGGAUCGAUCAUGCUGAGGUCGAGGAGCGGGAAGGGGGAGAGGGACGCGACGCCCAACCGGAGCAUGCGGGGCUACGACGCCAUCAAUCGGAUCAAGGCGAGGCUGGAGACCGUCUGCCCGCUCACCGUCUCCUGCGCCGACAUCAUCGCCAUGGCGGCGAGAGACGCCGUCUACCUGGUACGCGCCUCACGGAACAAAUCCAUGGCUUCUUUGCAAAUCGAUAUCGCGCUCUGCUUCUGAAUGCUCCUUGAUUCGCACAGAGCAAGGGGCCGUGGUACGACGUGGAGACCGGGAGGAGGGACGGCGACGUGAGCGUGGCCGAGUACGCCGAGAACGACCUGGCGCCGCCGGACUCCAACAUCGUCGACGUCAAGACCUUCUUCAGCGUCAAGUCUCUCAACGCCAAGGACAUCGCCGUGCUCUUCGGUACGUAUACUACCACGCCGUCUCCUUUUCCCCUUUUGCUUCUCGCGUUGGACGACGGCGACAGCUUAUCAGAACGCCGGUAAUGGCCAUUGGCCGCCGCCGGCGGCGGCGGCGGCGUCGUGCAGGAUGCCACAGCAUCGGGACGUCGCACUGCGGGGCGUUCCAGAAGCGGCUGUACAACUUCACCGGAAGGAUGGACCAGGACCCGUCGCUGGACGCCGGCUACGCGGCGAAGCUCAAGAAGCUCUGCCCGCCGGGGCACGGCCACGACCACGACCACGACGGCCAUGGCGGCGCCGGCGGCGCGGCCAAGGUGCCCAUGGACCCCGGCAGCGGCUUCACAUUCGACCUGAGCUACUACCGGCACGUGCUCGCCACGGGCGGCCUGUUCCAGUCGGACGGCAGCCUCCGCGACGACCCCGUCACGAGGGGCUACGUCGAGAAGCUCGCCAACGCGUCGUCGUCGGAGGAGUACUUCGCCGACUUCGCGGCGGCGAUGGUCAAGAUGGGCCGCACCGACGUGCUCACCGGCGAUCUCGGGGCGGUCAGGCCGACGUGUGACAGCCUCGUCGACUAGUUUAUUCGGCGUCCCGCCACAUUUGUGAUCUGUAGAAUUUUAUAUGGUUUUCUCUGUAACAUAUAUGUAAUUUCGAUUUAGAUUAGGGAAAGGUUGAGACUUGAGAGAAGUUGCAGUUUCUACGCUUUUGAGGAGACUGAUUGGAACAGCGUAUGAAUCUAGAGUUAAACACUUGUCAGUUGUCAAACUACUACAAACUAAUGAAUCUGUACAGAUGGGCUUGAUGACGAACCUUGCAGGGUGUAGGUUGGUUAUUCAGCUGUUCUUCGUAGUAGCAUUGUUAGUUUGGUGAAUCCACCGUUUGGUCAACCAUAAGUUGGUCACCAAAUCUGACCAGAUUGUAUAGAUUACUUAGGAACAAAGACUGCAUCAACCUUAUGCAAGCUAACCUAUGUGAAAAAAUAAGCACGGAAUGCUUUUGCUAGUUAGAAGUCUCUUUCAUGAGCAGCUCUGUUGCUCACUGCUUCAAGCUUAAGUACAAUGCCAGGAUGCAGAAUAUAGAAGUAGCGCCCUUCUGUAAGGGAAGGAGAAAAAACAUAGCAUUGGAAGCAGACAAAUUUCAAAAUUCAGUAUAUUUGUCCUUUCAUUUGUUUUGACUUCAGUAUCGGAAAAUUGCAUCUAUUUGUAAAUUUAAAUUUAUUUGCAAAAGGUAAAUACAAUGUUAGGCAUUAUGGCAGGAUGAACAGAGAAUUAAUGGAUUGACACUGUUAUUUUCUACUCCAUAUGUAGAUUCCGGUUGCUAUUACUACACCACCUAAUGCUCCAAUGGAUGCCAAAAUUUUCAUCUUUGAAGCACCUUGCUUAGUCACUGGUAAUACCAGUAAACUUUCUAUCUGCAGGAAAAGUUGAAAAAAUGGUGCAUAUAAAAUUAAAACCUGCAGAACUUUUCUGUUGAAUAACUACCUAGAUGGAUGAUGGAUUUCCUAUUGGUACGAAGCAUAUCACUGUUUAAAAAUAUCUAACCUCGAUUGGUUGUUCCCAAUUUUUCUUUAUUCCAGAAACAUGCCCUUUUCCUACAACUGCCACCACCGAGGAAUGUUCCUUUGCUACCUUCAAUAAUUUGGAGGACAUAUACCUGCAAACACAAUUUCAAUAAUUCAAGCACAAAAGAUUGUGGUGGUAAUCGAGAAUAUCAACACAAACUUUUUUAAGUAACUCACAUAUCACGUUCAUGUAGGAGUGUCUCCAUCAAGGUAGGAAAUGCCUUACUCAUCUCUUGAAUAACAAGUGUUAGCAUGUCAACAUCCUCCAUGUCCUUCAGCUGUAUAGACAAGCAUUGUCAUUGCUAUGCAAAUGGAGUAAAGUCUGGUUAAUUGUCUAUCUAUACUAAAGUCUAGAAAGUAUAUUGAGUUAUAUGAAAUCACACACUAGAACUGUACAUUUCAAGUCAUCCAGGAAGACAUCAUACCAUUUUAUUAAGUUCCUCCGGGCUUGGUAAAAAUAUGGACUGGAAAACAAUGUAGUACAAAAACUUUGCCCUGUGCCAUAAUGACAUUCUCCCCCAAGUCCUUCUCAAAGUGAUCUUCGAAACAGAUAAAGACGAUGAUAAGAUGGCACCACUGCUAAUGAAAUAUAAGUACUGACCAAACUAUUGUUUAUUCUGUAGAAAGUUCUAACGAUAUCAAGAUUCAUAUUCUAUUAAUCAAAUCUUCUAUAUGAUAGAGAUCAUUGUAACAAGAUAUGGAGUACAUCUCAACUUUUGAGUUAAAUAACAAAAUAUCUAACCUCAUUAGUCCAUAUCAUAUAGCAAAAGAUUAAGACGCAAGCAAACAGUGGCAACUAUCUUUUAUUCCAUCCAAUCAGCCAGAUGUGAUGAACAUUUGAAAAAUAUGUAGUUUUUUUCCAGAUGUCAUGUCAAAAGAUGCACCAUUAUGAUAAAAAUAUCUCAUCACAAUUCAAAAUAAUGACAAGUGAAAAAGUCAAUAGCAUGAAUACGUGGUUGCUUAACUUGAGGUAACAUAAUAAACUGUUAUCAUUUGUUUGUACUAGGUUCACAAAAAAAUCCACACUAAAAGUUUAUCACAUUUAUCCACGUAUGAACCUUAAAUUGGCACAGCCAGUCAGCUGUUAUGAAUAUCCUCUCCCUUCUUCUUCUUGCAUCUAUCUAUAACCUGUAUGGAGGUUAUAGACAACCAAAUUCAACCACUAGAUAAGUAGGUUGCAUACCUGGACAGGGCGAUCUCCAAGGAUAACUUUGCCGCCAUAACUCAUUGCUUCCUCAAAUGCCACUCGGAAUUCGGCCCCAGGUAACACAUCAAGUUGGCUAGCAACCUUGGAUGCCAAAAACAUAGCCCACCAUGUAAAUUUUUUUUAAAAAAAAACUUACCUAACAAUAAGUACGAACUGCAAAACAAGCAUCAAGGCAUACCUUUGCAAGAAACCAGCUGUAGAGUAUUCCAAAAGUGUUCAUCUUCUUUUUCUUCCACAUGUCAAUCAUUUCGUUCAUGGUAGGAACCUAUGAUGAUAACAGAAUGAUAAAACAAGUUAACUACGAGUAGAUAUAACAUCUCGAACACUUAUGUCAAUGAUGGCUGCAAACCAUUAAUAAGGCUAAAGUCUGUUGCUACACACUAGCAUAGUGCUAUAAGUUAUAUGCACUUAAUCAAAUACUGAUAGAAGGCAUGUCAGCACUGGCUCCUAUUUAUGAUUGAUCAGAUAGUCUUUGGCAUGGCCAUCCAUGCCAAUUGCCAAUACGAAAAUGCAAUACAAUGCCACUGCCAUAAUUCCAACUUCUAAUUCUCUCGCGUAAAUAAAUCUUAACCAGUGUUGUAAGAGAUAUAUCCACAAGAGAUAUCUUUUCCCAGUUGAGCUUAAUUCCAUGAAGUAUAGAACCACAUUAUCACUCUAAAUAGUUUGUAUUCACUAUUUGAGGGAAGAUAACAGACAAAAUUCAGACGACAAUAGACUUCAGCACUCUCAUAGUGUAUUCUCAUGGUUCAUAAUUCAUUCAGUUUUUACAUGUACAAUAACCUCAAACAAAAAAAAGAGGAAAGUGUUCCCUUCCUCGUGCAAUGUACAUAGGUAACAAACAUGACAACCCAAAAUGAAGUAAAUUCUGCAUGAUCAUACCUGAAGGUUUUGUGGUGUCAGAAUGGCGACUCUGCUGGCACAGAGCUCCAAGAAAACAGCCUACAUUUGUUAAAGAGGUGUUAAAAUAAUUAGUAUAAGGUGUUCCGGAUCAAUUAUCAAUAAGCACUCCACAAGAAGGCAGCCAACCUGCCAAAUGAUUCACCAACUGGUAAAUUAUCGGUGAUGAGUAAAAAGAGGAAGAACCUGAGGUUUCAGGUAGUCGAUGACGGCUUUUACUUGGUCACAUGAUUCCUACAAAGUGAAUCAACAUACGAAUAUUCAAUCCACAGUAUAAUCAUAGUAAGCGCGACUUUGAUGCAUAUAAGUUGAAAGUACAGGACACAACAACAGUUAACUAAAUUUGCAUCGGUCAUAGCGCUACCACUACCACUACAAAUACACGUCUAUAUAAAUUACUAUAAAGGAAAAAAGGGUAGUCUUUUGUUGGUACAGUUCGUGUUCAUGAGGAUUUUACGAGCCUGUUUGGCACAGCUUCAGCUUCAGCUCCACCUCUCUUCUAGAGUUGGAGCUCAGCCAAACAGUUUUAGUUCCACCUAAAAUGGGAGCGGGGCUAGGUGGAGCGCUCUCACAAAAUGAACUAGAGAUGUAGAACCUGGUUUAGGCAGCUCCACAACUCUACUCCAGACCCAACUCCUGGAGUUAAAUUUAUGAGUUGGAGCUCUACCAAACAGGCCCUACAUGUUUGCUGUGUUUCGCUCUCCAGUUUUUUCUUUUUUUUCACUGGUAAUCUCAACCCUGCAAGUUCUUCACUUCCUAAAUAAGUUACUAACGAAAUUUGAACUAAGUUACUAGUGAAAACUUAAAAUUUGGACUAAUGCGAACCCGCAAUCCAAAUAAAUCGAGACCAGAUCGUCCCCUAGGUGUUCUCCAAAAAGUUCGAGGCUACAUCAUAUAUCGAGCUGACGAGGAGGCCAAUUCACCUGUGAAACAUGGGCGGUGCCGACGACGUAGACGCGGCAGGUCCCGCCCGCCCCCGCCGCCUCCGCCUCGGGCGACGUCUCGCACUCGAGGCACACCACCCCCUUGGCGAGCUCCUCGGGCAGCUCCUUCCUCUCCCUCUCCCCCUCCCCCUCCCCCCGCACCACCUCUCCCCCGCCCGUCUCCGCGUCGGCGAACUCCGACGCGUCCUCGUAGCCCCCGCCCUCGCCGUCGGCGGCCGGAUCCAUGAGCAGACCGAGCGGUGUGAGGCCGCGGCCGCCUCGGAUCGGGCCAGUGCACAGCAGGGCCUGGACCAGUGAGGCCUGGAGCGGCGACAGGCGGCGGCGGAAGAGAGGCGGAAGCGGGAGGCGGCGGCGGUGGAUCGGCGGCGACGACGAGUCUGGGAGGAGGCGACGAGGAGCGCGAAUCAUGCGGCGGCGGGCGUCGAAAUUUUUUUUUUGAGAGGGAUUUUUUUUUUUUUUUGAUGAAGAGGAAGAGUUCGUCGUGCGGGCCGGAGAUGGAGUGGACUUGGGGGAGGAGGUGGGGCGAUGUACGGUCUGGAUUUGUUUCGUCGUAUCGUAGAAGGGAUCUGGCCCGUCCGUUCGGUACACUGGACUCCGAGUCAGUGAUAACUACGGCGCAGCCAGUUUUGUCUUUUUUAUUGCUUCAUCGGGCCGGAACCGGAUGACCGGGCGAUGGAAUUCAGGGUCGGUUUGUGUCAUUUAAUUACGACGUUAACGUUAAACAUGUACAACAAUAAUAAACUGAUCAACGUUAAUAUUUUGUAAAGUAAAUUUUUAGAGUAAAUUGUACCCACGGUACAAAGAAUUUGGUAGAUACGUGCGAUAUAGUAUAAUAACUUGAAGAAAAACGAGUAGACUGGUAUAUAAACUUGACAAUCACGUGCAUUUUAAUCAAAAACAUAAAUAUAUAUCUUUGAUUAAUCUUAACUGCUAGGUUUUGGCUCAUGAAUUCAAUUUCGUGUUUUGCCAUGUUCAUAACCCAAUACAAUGAAUAUGUUGAUUAGGCGAGUCGCUCGAAAAUUAUGUUAUUUGCAUGCACUUAUUUUUGAUAAUCAUAUAUCUUUUGGUUUCAAAUAGAUAGAUUAUUUUAUUGUUACAACUAACAGAUAAAGCAAUAUAUAAUACAUCUAAAUCCUUGUCAAGAUGGCUGGCAUGAGUGGCUGCUUUUUUUAUAUGGCAUAAAAAGUAUGGUGUGCAAUAUUGAUAUUUAGCCAAAAUGCACGCACUAGCCAAGUUGUUCCCUUAUAUACUCAGUUUUUAAAUUUUUGCACUAGAUUACACCCACCUACCCCAAGUUUACGUAUUGUAGAUGUAAUUUACUCAAAAUUUUAAAAUAAGAUCAUCUAUUGAAAAAACAAAGAUAGUAUGUAAAGAGCAUUAUAAAAUAAUUUAUCGUUCUAUGGGAGAAAAGAAAUGAAAAGAGGAGUGAAAUGAAAAGAGGAGUGCCUCUGCGUCGGUGGUAAAAAAGAAAUGCUGUAUGUCAGUGGUAGAUAUCAUCGACCAAGAUCCGACUGUGCCCAAUAAUCAAUACUACACAUGUCUAGCAUGCCGGUUAUGGUUGAAAUAAAGUUAUUUAAAUGAUGCAUUCGUUUUUUUUCAAGUUUUAUUGAGAACCUUUUAAAACAAAGGAUUAAUGUAUAAAUUUUGUAGGAUUUAAAUCUUAUAGAAUUUUUAUAUUUGACCUUUUUUGAUAUAAAGGAUUGAAAGAAUAUCUAACUUAAUUGCAUGUAGAUUUGUUUUACCGUUAUACUUAUUUUCUCCGUCAAAAAAAGACAAACCCUGAGUUUCCGUGUCCAACGUUUGACCGUCCGUCUUAUUUAUAAAAACUAUGAAAAAAACUAAAAAAGAUAAAUCACUUAUAAAGUAUUAAUCAUGUUUUAUCAUCUAACAAUAAUGAAAAUACUAAUUAUAAAAAAAAAUUAUAUAAGUCGGACAGUUAAAUGUUGGACACGAAAAUUCACUAUUUGUCUUUUUUUUUUUUUUACGGAGAGAGUAUGUUAGAAUCAUGUAUUUUUUUCUGCUUCUCUGUUAUCCAUUCAUGGAAUUCAGACAGGCCAUUAAUUCGACACAUCAUCAAUAUUGGUCCCGCUGAUAUUUACUCUAACCAACACCAACUAGAGUGUCAAGAGAAGAGUAGGAAAGCUUGAAGAAAUCAAACACAUCAUCAUUCCAAUUUCCAAAGAGGAGAGUCGCAGAAAGCAAUGGCUUCUACUGACCGCAGCAAGAAGCUUCGCGUCCUGCUCAUCCCAUUCUUCGCCACCAGUCACAUCGGCCCCUUCACCGACCUCGCCGUCCGCCUCGUCACCGCCAGACCGGACGCCGUCGAGCCCACCAUCGCCGUGACCCCGGCCAAUGUCUCCGUCGUCCGAUCAGCCCUCGAGCGGCAUGGCUCAGCGGCGACCAGCGUGGUCAGCAUCGCCACCUAUCCGUUCCCGGAAGUGGCCGGCCUCCCUCGGGGCGUCGAGAACCUCUCCACUGCCGGCGCCGAUGGGUGGCGGAUCGACGUCGCUGCCACCAACGAGGCGCUGACACGGCCGGCGCAGGAGGCGCUCAUCUCGGGCCAAUCUCCUGACGCCCUCAUCACGGACGCCCACUUCUUCUGGAACGCUGGCCUCGCCGAGGAACUCGGCGUGCCCUGCGUUUCGUUCAGCGUCAUCGGUUUAUUCUCCGGGCUCGCCAUGCGCUUCGUCACCGCCGCCGCCGCGAACGACGACUCCGAUUCGGCGGAGUUGACUCUCGCGGGGUUUCCAGGGGCGGAGCUACGGUUCCCCAAGUCCGAGUUGCCGGAUUUCUUGAUCCGGCAAGGGAACCUCGACGGAAUCGACCCGAACAAGAUUCCCCAGGGGCAAAGGAUGUGCCAUGGUCUCGCCGUGAACGCGUUCUUGGGCAUGGAGCAGCCGUACCGUGAGAGAUUCUUGCGCGACGGCCUCGCAAAGCGCGUCUACUUGGUCGGGCCACUCUCGUUGCCGCAGCCACCGGCCGAAGCUAACGCCGGUGAGGCAUCGUGCAUCGGUUGGUUGGACUCCAAGCCGAGCCGGUCAGUGCUGUACGUAUGCUUCGGCACGUUUGCUCCCGUCUCGGAGGAGCAGCUCGAGGAGCUGGCUCUCGGGCUGGAAGCCUCCGGCGAGCCGUUCCUGUGGGCGGUCAGGGCCGACGGGUGGUCGCCGCCGGCGGGGUGGGAGGAGCGCGUUGGUGAGAGGGGGGUGCUGGUCAGAGGGUGGGUCCCACAAACGGCGAUACUUUCUCACCCGGCGACGGCGGCGUUCCUGACGCACUGCGGGUCGAGCUCGCUGCUGGAGGCCGUGGCGGCCGGCGUCCCGCUGCUGACGUGGCCGCUGGUGUUCGACCAGUUCAUCGAGGAAAGGCUGGUCACCGACGUCCUGAGGAUUGGCGAGAGGGUGUGGGACGGGCCACGGAGCGUGCGGCACGAGGAGGCGAUGGUGGUGCCGGCGGCGGCGGUGGCGCGAGCCGUGGCGAGGUUCUUGGAGCCUGGUGGGGCAGGGGACGCGGCGAGGCUCAGAGCGCAGGAGCUCGCCGCCGAGGCUCACGCGGCCGUGGCCGAAGGCGGGUCCUCGUACCGCGAUCUGCGCAGGCUCGUCGACGAUAUGGUCGAAGCAAGGGCGGCCGGCGGCGAGGCUGCGGCUGCACCGCAACCUCAGUAGCCUAUAAUGCCAAUGCGUUCGUCUGUACGAUGUCGAGUCAUUCCACUGUUGCAGGCUCCCAGUUCAUUUCGCUCAGUUGUCAUGAUGCACUGAUGCAGGCCUUGUUGUGACUUUGAGAAACGUUUAUUCAGAGUGCAAACCGCAGAACACUUCUUCAGUUCAGUUCAAUGAAAUCAGUAUAUUGACUUGGUUUGUAAUUUGAAGCUUUUAGGGGUAGUUUGGAUAUAGGGACUAAACUUUAGUCUAUGUUACAUCGGAUAUUUGAUAUUAAUUUAUAAUAUUAAAUAUAAGCUAACUAUAAAACUAAUUACAUAGAUAGAUGCUAAUUUGCGAGAUGAAUCUAUUAAGCCAAAUUAAUCCAUUUUUAACACAUAUUUACUGUAGCACAACAUUAUCAAAUCAUGUACUAAUUAGGCUUAAUAGAUUCGUCUCGCGAAUUAGCCUCCAUCUAUGUAAUUUAUUUUAUAAUUAGUAUAUGUUUAAUACUUUAAAUUAAUGUUAAACAUCCUUUAUCCAAACUACGCUUUAGUAGUUUGGGAAAUCUGAUAAGAAAUGGGUUGGGUAAUCUUUUCUUCUCUUUUUGAAGAAAAGAAAUUGUGGAUGAUUUGAACAGCUAUUCUUCGCCAUUCUUGACAAUCUCCAAGGGUUCUCUUACAACGCUCGGGACGAGCCAGGUGACACCGAUGAAGAUUGCAGAGAAGCUUGCCUGAACAAAUGCUACUGCAUUGCAUACUCAAGUGAAUCUGGAUGUGCAAGCUCUGUAUUACGACCUGUACAAUCUGAGCUCAGCUAAUAAACCUCCAUACAGCAAGAUCUAUGUUGGGUUCCAAGCUCAGGAGCAAGAGGGGAUUGACCACAAGAUGUGUCCUCUUGGUGGUUGGAUCAAUAGCUGUAGCUUCUGCAAUGUUUGCAGUGUUGCUUCUAUGCAGGUACAGGAGAGACUUGUUUGGUUCGAGUAAAUUCGUCGUAGAAUGAUCUUUGGUUGCCUACUCAUAUGCACAGAUCAAGAUCAAGAAGGCAACGGAGUGGCGACGGCGUGGGCGGUGCCCGGUGGUGCGGCGACGGGCGAGGCCGACUCCGCGUGGAGGCGUGCGCGGAGCCCGUGCGACGGCGGCAGCUUCGGCUGGCGCAGCAUUGGCGGGGCAGCUCGGCCAGCGACGGCGAAACCCGGCACGGCACAGUGGCGGCAGUGCGUGGCGUGGUGGCGGCGGUGCAUGGCAGGCGGAGGCCGGCACGGUGGCACUGGUGGCGGCGGGGUGACGGCUGGUGGCAGUGGUUUGGUCGUGGGAGCGAAGGAGGCGACGGCGGCGCCUGGUGGUGGUCGUGGCGGCGCGGUGCUCGGUGACGACGGCGGCGGUGUCCUCCAGAUCCGUGCGACUCGGCUGGAUCUGGAGGGUGGCUGGCGGUGGUGGCUGCGGCAGCUAGCGGCGGCGGCGGAGGACAAGGCGGCGGCGUAGGGCCGGUUUGCUGGCUGCUUUGGUGGCGAAAGGCAACGAUGUAGCGGCUGCUUUGGCGAUGGCGGCGGUUUGCGGAGACGACGGCUGGUGAUAGCGGCAGCGGCGACGGCGGCCGGCUUGCGGCGGUCGUGACUGUGAGGCGGUGGUGAUGUCGCCGGAUGCGGCAACGGCAUCGCCGGCGACAGCAAGUGGAGGCGGGGAAGGAGUCGGGUGCAAGGUGUGGAUGGCGACGGGCGUUCGGCAGCAGCGGUGGUGACCGUGACUGCGGUCACCGAAGGCAUGACGACUUCGGUCGGCUAGCCAAGGGCGUGGCAGACGGCUACUUCUGACUGGUGUGGCAUCGUUUGGAGGAGGGGUCGGAGACCAGCUUGGCGCAGAGAGGCGCAGCUGAUGGUAGCGGAGGCCGGCUCGGCGUGAGAGGCGCGGCUGGCGGAGAUGGAGGCCGGCUUGGCGCGAGAGGCGCGGCCGGCGAUGGAGGAGGCGACCUUGGUGUGAGAAGGAGCUACUGGUGGUUGUGGCGCGGUCUUCGGCGCACGAAGGCUGGCCGGCGGGGGGGCGCCAAUGCAGGGGUCCCACAUGUUGGCAGAGCUUGAGUGGUGGUGGAGCAUCGGGGCACCACCCAUGGAUUUGCAGGUGGUGAGCAGCGGGUGAAAACCCAGCCCGGCCUUGGCCGGACUGGCAACGAUGAUUCCCCCUCCUGAGGGCGUUGUUGUGCUGUCUCAUCCCUCAAGGGUGGUUGCCGGGCAAAAAGCCCAGUCUUGCUCCUUUGAGCCCUGACGGAUGGCGGCGGCGGUUCUUCCGUCGCUUCUCUUCUUGAAGACGUCGUUUUGACAUCCCCUAGGGGGCGAUCUCGUCUGUGUUUCUUUGUUGGUCUAGCAGCGAUCGGUCACGCUUAGCAGCGGCCGGUCCGGUGCUUGCCUUUUCCCAGGCUUGUGUGUUGGCGUUGUCGGUGUGUGGGUGGUAGUAUAUUUUUUCCUUUUUGCUGGUUACGACCCUUCAGGGUUGUAAUCUUGUAAUUUUUUCCUGCUCUAUCAAUAGAACUUCGCACCGUCUCGUGCGAGUCGUUCAAAAGAAGAAGGCAACGGAGAAUUUCUGUGAUAAUCUCGGAGAAGGCGGAUUCAGAAGCAUUUUUCAGAGGUACUUGCCCGAGAAGAAGAAGAAGAUGGUAAUGAAGGAGACGAGUGUUUCCGAGAACGUGGGAGCACACACGACGGCAACAUUGGGCGACUUGAAGUCACCCUCCAUCUCCUCCCACGGCGGCACGUUCUUCCGGUCUGUGAACAGUGACAGAGGUGAGAAUGCGUCGCUCCCGUCCUCCUCGAUGCCACCGCCGGCGGCGGCUUGUCGGUGCAGGUCGCUUAGUUGCAUCAUCAUCGGCUUGUCUCCCCCUUCCCCGCCGCCGCCGCCACCACCAGCCCCAUCGAUCUAGUGCUGCCGGAGGCGGGAUGCGAGCAACGCCGACUCAUCAAACACCUGCUCCGCCACCAGAUUGCCCUUCUCAUUGUGCAUGCGCCGAAGUCGCCGUAGAAGAAGCCGUGCGGACUUGUAGCCGGAGGAAGAACGCCUGAGAGAGAGGAGAGAGAAGAGGAGGGAAUGAGAAUGACACGUGGGGCCCAUGUAGGCCCCACCAUUUUAAAAAACAUUUUUAUUGUAACUAACAUGUGGGCCCACGAUUAUUAUUAUUAUUUUCCAUAUCAAGUUGCCACAUAAGCGCGACGUCAAUAUCAUGUGGGAGAAAGACUAAGUCAAACUAAUCACGUAGGCGCCACGUCAGUUAAAACCGGCGUGCAAACCGCCAUGGGACCUAUAUUGCACCGGUUUUGUAAUUGAGGGACCCGUUGUAUCUGGUUUUACCGUUGAAGGACGAAAAUCGGAUUGGUUGACAAGUUAAGGGAACUCAAGUGAACUUAUUCCUUCUUCUUUUCCACCGAAGCAGCAGGCCCAGGCCAAUCGGCCUGUUUGUCUUCCUCUCUACCAGCUAGCCCAAACCAGCUAUUCUUCCCGGACCAUCUUUGUUUCCUCUUCUUCGGCCCAUCUGUCCCAACUCGACCAGCCUCGCCAGCCAGCCAACCAACCAGGACGCGAAUUUUUUUCGUUUUUAGAUUUUUUUUUUAAUAUUUACAGAAAUAAUCUAUCGACCAAAAAAAUUACAGAAAUAGCACCUGCCGCCCAAAUGGUGGGCGGCAAGCUGACGUGGCAGACGAUGGGUCGACCGCGCCGUCUGCCGCCGUCGGCCAAAAUUGCGAUUAGGCCCUUGUCGCCCAUACAGAGGGCGGCAAGGGGCUAAUUACAAUUUUGGCCGCCCAUUCAGAGCUUGUGGCCGUACUUUUUCAUCUGGGGGCGGCAAGGGACCCAGAUGAAAAAAGUACGGCCAAAAGAUUUUUCUAUGUUAUGUUAAUAAUAAAUAAAGAAGUAUUUAUUGGUAAAACUUGUUAAUAUUGUUAUAAAAAUGUAUUGAAGUUGGUUGUUGCGCAAUUUCAUAUGUUAAGUGAGGUAUUAUUUUGUACCUUAUUUGACGUAUUAGUACUCGGAUAAUUUAUAUAGGCCUAUCGCAGUCUAGGUCGUAGAAACAUUAUAUGGACUUAAACAAGGAGAAUUAUGUAACAUGAAGAAAUAGUAGUACAAUUUGAACAUGAUACAACUAUUUGCAUUGCGGUUACAUAGAUGAUAUUAGAUUCGAACUAGGAGGGAGGUAGUGCAAUAGUUGAACACAACGACGAUGUAGUAAUGGGACAAGGAAGCAUGACAGUAGAAAUUUCAAUAUGCCAAGUUGUCCGAUAAUAGCUAACCCCUACGUGAGGAUCCCUCUCCUCUCUCAAACCGCGCUUUAGUAACCCUGUAUUGCUCUGGUAGUUCAAGCUGCACAACACAGCUAGGUGGAGUUAGAACCCUUCUGGUGUCUAUCCAUUCUCUGUAUUGACAUCUCCUUGGUGGUUCCUGGGAGGAAAGAAUAGAUGUAAAGCAAGCAAAGUUAGUAAAUGUUGUGAGAAAAUAAGGAAUCAUGUAAUUAAAAUAUUCUUACCAUGAAAUCGUCGUCAAGAAUAUUUGGACAAACAAAGAACCUUCGACCCAAUGUUGUAGGAUUUAUGGAACGAAGAACCUGACAACGAUCACCACACCUACAUCUUGGACGGGCUUUCCAUGGAGGGAGUGCCGUAGUUAGCACCCGCCAGUCGCUCUGUUGUUCACGACAUUGUCGUUCAUAAGCCGCUUUUCUCUGUAAGUAUUGCUCAGUACUUUCGGAUGCGAAAUACCAGCGACCUUCUUGUAAACAAGUGGUUAGGUCGAGAACGGGAUUUUCUGUAUCGACCCACUCGAUGUAUGCGCAAGCCGUAGUGCGGGUCUGCUGAAUAGAGUAGUGUUACGAAGAAUAAAGCGAUUGCCCAUACGGAAUGAAUAAGCAUAUGCAGAUAAUAAAAUACCUCACGGUCAUAGUUAGGGCACCUAAAAAAGCGCCUUCCUCGAAUAUCAGGAUUCCUCGAAGCCAUUAGUUGGCAUCGAUCACCGCAUAGGCAGAGAGGACGCUGGCACCAAGGUGGUAGUAGGUAUACACAAGGAUCGCUACGCCAGUUUGGAUCCUCAACACCCCGGCGUCUAGCCAUUGACGAAAGCCGGUCGGAUUUGUAAUGAAGCAAGUGGGGAAGAGAGUACUGAAUGUGACUGAGUUCUGAAAGAUUGUGAGGCCUCACUCGUUAAGGCGACUUAUAUAGGCGCAAAAAAUCGAGUGAUACCCCUGACAUGUGAACGUGGUGGGGUAUGGUGGGUACGCCUGAUUGGUGCCGAAAGAUACAUGCAUGAUCGGCACCGAAAGUUACAUUGGUCGUAUGCGCCAAAUGGCGGGCAAAUACUCGUAUCACACGCGAAUAAAGGAGGCUGCAUCGGUGCGGCAGAAAGUAGUCGUGCAUGCGCCGAAAGGUAUCGUGCAUGCGCCGAAAGGUAUCGUGCACAUAUAACAACAACGUAGUCAUUACACAAGCAUACAGUACUGGAAAGUGAAGCAAGUAAACAAAAAGAAGACUGCUCUGCUGGCCCUGCCCCGCGCCGCGACCACGCUUGGUCCUCCGGGCCUGUGCUCGCACGUGGUCCUAGGAGUAGGUGAAACGAUCCGGUGGCACAGCACGGGUAGCACGAGUGUCCCGCGGAGGAGUGGCCUGCGCCUGGACCUGCGUCUGCACCGGCGGUGCGCCUCCCAGCUGUGAGGGGCCGAUGACGUCCUCUGUCGAGUCUGAAGCGAAGUCGAAGUCAGUGAUGUCGAAGAGCACGGUGGAAGACAGGAAGGGGUCCGACGAGGUCCCAGCAUGGUCCAGUGGUGGACCCUGACUCGACGUGCCGGCUGCCUGUGACGCUGACCCUGCAGCCUGGGAGAAGUGGGCGGCCUGCGUCAUAGCGAACUGGGCGAAACCUACACAUCGACAACGGGACCCUUGUAAGCUAAGACAUAAAAUGUAUGUAAAUUGAUUGUGGAAGUAAUGUUGUUUUUUUAAGUACCUGUGGGGGGCACAACAGAAGGCCUAGCCGAGGAAGGCAGGGUGCUGAACGGUGCACGAAACCCUGAAGCAAUCGGCAAGUGAAACGGCUCACUUAUAUGUGCGAGGCAUGUACAGAAGUAGUAAUAAAAAUACUUACCUCCGUGCGGAGGAGGAGUCGGCCUAGGAACUUGCGCAGCUGGACGGGGACCAGUCGGUACGGGUGGCCGCUGUACAGCUGCGUCUGCCCGAGCAACGUCGUCUGCACGACAGGUGAGCACUCGGAGAAUCGAGCGCAUCGAGCUCCUCAUACAGUGACUCCUCGUACGCGUGCUGGUCCACCUCAGGGCGGCCGAUCGCAAUCCUCUCAGCUGCCCAGAUAGAAAGAAAGAGAGGGCACCCACCAAAGGUCGCGCUGGGAUCCGUCUUCGUGCAAGACUCACAAAGUGCACGGUACAGAGCCGCCAACAACGCGGAACCCCAACUCCACUGAGGCACCUCGCCUACCGCGGCGUCGGCGAUGCUCCUGGCGUAGUGCACGAGUCCCUUGUCGACCGCGUGCCCAUGACCGCCACAGAACAUCACCCAGCCAAAAAGCCAGAGCAAGUACGCCUCCAAACAUCGGCUGUACGAGUACUCGUCGGCCUCCGCCUGUAGCUGCUCAACCUGCAAGCAGUCGAUAAAAUGUUAGGCACCUUAACUGCGGACUAAAUAUGUAAUACGAUUGUCAUUUCGGUACAAAAACACUCACGGUGAACUGAAGCAGCCACCUCUUCGUAGGUCCGGUGUUGCGGUGGUGUGCCAACGGCUCGAGCGGGAGGUGCGGUGCGCGCUGUACUAGUGCGAAACGUGCCGUCAGAUCGUCCUGCCAGUCCACAGCCGUGGUCACUGGCCCAACAGCGUCUCCCGCGAGCGGUAGCCCCAACAAGUACGAUACGUCCUGUAGGGUAGGGGCUACCUCACCGCACGGCAAGUGAAAAGUGUGCGUCUCUGGCCUCCAUCGAUCGACCAAAGCUGCUACGAGGGACCUGUCCACAGUCCAUCGUCUGGCCGGGUCCGCGUCGCCGGCCGCAGCCUCCACCAGCCGACACAUCGGUAGGAGGCCGGCCUCACGUAGCCUGCAAUAACAAAUUAAUAUGUCAUUAUAAAAAAUAUUACAGUGCAACUAACUUAUAGUAAAACACUGUUCGUACCUCUCGACAAAGGAGUCGUGAACCGUGAGUAGCUCACCGCACGUCCGUGCCCGGAACGUCCCAUCAAUGCAGAGAAUGUCAAGAAUGUCCCAUCAAUGCAGAGAACAGGACGACAGUUCACGAAUGCCAUCUUGCAUGCAUGUAGAGCUAAGAACGCCCUUUGCAGCACACUCUUGCCAGGAUGUUCAAUUGAGGGGAAUUUCUUCACUUCGUAAGAGCUCCCAGGGUUUCUUUCCUCGAUAACACCAAGCAGGCAUGGCAAAUUGUCAUACAAGGCUUCGUAAGUUCCAAAUCUCAUCUCUAUUAUUUUCUAUUUGGCCCUCCAGGCCUUGGCAUAGCUAAUAGUAUACUUGUAUGUCUCCUCGAUGUGUCGGAUUAUUGACCUUGGUUCAUAUGUGAGAUUAUCGAUGACAUGCGCAUACAUCUCAGAUGCAACAAAUGCACAUGUAAUGUUCCUGUGGUAUUUCUGAACACCAGGUAGAAAACAUGUAUGCUUGGUAACAACUGACACUGUCCAAUAAUCCUUCCAUUUCCCCUUAUACGCGUGCACUCUCCAGGGACAACCAUCUUUUUCCUUAACACACCGAACUUCAUAUUGCGACCGGUUCGACUUGGCAACCCUAAACUCUUUAUGAAGUGACACUGCAAAAUGUUUUACCGCCUCCUUCAUAUCUUCUGCUCUGCUAUAAAUCGCUCCCUGAAUAACCUCAUUUUCUUUGUACUCCCAUCUCACACUAUCCUAUUCAGAGACGAUCAGUCCAGAAAAAUCCUCACUAGCCCAUUCUGCUGGAUUAAUAUCCGUCUCAUCAUCUGACGAAUCACCUUCCUUUACACGCUCGUUGUCAGAAUCCUCCCUCUCCAUUUCAUCCACAAUGGCACCGACAGUCUCCCCCUCGUCGGCCACUCCACCUGGUUGAAUGCCCACUGGAGCAACUACGCCCCCGUCCUCUCGUGCGUUGACCUCCUCCACAGAAGUCUCGUUUACUUCAGCACUUGGUCCCUCGCCAUCAUCCAUGUUCAUCUGCACACCUGGAUCCUUCGGGUGAACAAACGGAACCAAAGCUAGAGGCCACCCGCGUUGCAAUGCAUUUUCCAAAUACCAUCUCCACACUCGGGAGUUUUGAACUGGCAUUAGUUCCCAAUAAAAACCCUCAGUUGCCCGACUUACUAUAACAUUGAUUGUUAUGUCACUUGUCUGUGGAUCAACUCUCAAGCCCCUCAUUAACCAUCCUUUUAUAGAAGGUACACUCCUCUCAGCCGGUCUAUCAAUUCCCCUUUCUGAUACAAUAAAAUCUGACAGAUCUACCCCAGUUGGCCCGUAACAGACGUUUCGUGGUCCAUGGUAAACUUGGAAUAUUUGUUUGUUCGACAUAUCUGUCAACGAAAUAACUAGAUCAUAUUACUCUUUCAUGCAAUAAACAUCUACAACGUAAUAUCUUCUUGUGUAAGCCAAUGCAACGGUAAUGUAUUGAUUCCAAACUAGCAGAUCUACGUAGUUACCGAUAUCUAUAAUACGCACUUCUAGAUUAGUACAACUAAAACCCUAAAAAUAUAAUGCAUUUAUUCAAACAAAUUUUUAAAAAAUACACACUAUUUUUAAAAAAUAUAAUCCCCCGUUUGCCACGUCAGCUUGCCGCCUCAGAGGUGGGCGGCAGGGUCUAUUUUUAUAAUUUUUUUGGCCGAUAGAUUAUUUCUGUAAAUAUUAAAAAAAAAUCUAAAACCGAAAAAAAUUCCCAGGACGCACCUGGACCUGGUGCGUCGGCCGGCCUCGCCGCACCUCGCGCUCGCGCGCGCAACCCUAACCCGCCCUCCCUCCCUGCCGCACCGAGCUCGCCAGUGCGCCGUCCCGCGACAAGCCGUGGACAACGCGCCCCCCUUUCCGCUGCCCCUUGAAAUCUCAGCCGUGCUGUAGUGCCAAGCAGACCUCACAACGACGACUUCGUCGCUUCCCCGUACCAACCACCGCACGUACAGCGCCAGCUGUACGUAGAUCGCGUCACCCGAGCAGCGUUUCGCUUGUACCCGCCCGGCGCACCGGCCCCGCGACCGCGAUGACGCCGAGUCGCGCCAACCAUCCACUCCCUGUCGCGCGCCACGUCGCCUGCUGCCGCCCGUUUACUUUUCCUCAUCUCCCGCGCGCGCCUUCCGCUGCUGCACCCAGUCCACCGCGCCGCCAUGCCGCGCCACCGGAGCUCGACGCAGAAAGUGGUGCGCCGCGUCCAUCCUCCCCACCACCACCACAGUCCUCCUCCUGUAACAUCCUGUGCCCCUUUUUCAUCGUCAUCGGCCUCCUCCUUUCCCCCACCAAACCCAUCUCCAGUUCUCCACCAUCACACGAUCGAGCAUCUCGGGGCCGCGACUUCUUGCUUUUCCGCCCUCGCCACCACAUCGACACGCCGAGAUCCGCCGUUGCAUCGCCUCCAAUCGAGCCCGCUCACCUCCUGCAUCACCAGCACCACUCUCCGCCUCCCUGGCCGCCGUCGCGCCGGGUCGAGUGCCGCUCGCGUGCGCGCCUCCUUCCCCACCGCCGAUUGGAUUCUUGUGCAGAAAUCCAUCAAUUCCUCAAUCCUCACUAGACACAUCAACGCUCCAACUCCAGGCUAGAGAAGAGCAGAAGGCUUGCGGAGAAGAAUGGCUUCUGCCGAGCGCAGCAAGAAGCUGAGGGUCCUGCUCAUGCCCUUCUUCGCCACAAGCCACAUCGGCCCCUGCACCGACCUCGCCGUCCGCCUCGCCGCGGCCAGACCGGAUGUCGUCGAGCCCACUCUCGCCGUCACCCCGGCCAACGUCUCGGUCGUCCGAUCAGCCCUCAGGCUGCAUGGCUCUGCGGCGAGCACCGUGGUCAGCAUCGCCACGUAUCCGUUCCCGGAAGCGGCCGGCCUCCCACCGGGCGUCGAGAACCUCUCCACCGCCGGCGACGAAAGGUGGCGCGUUGACGCCGCUGCCUUCGACGAGGCGAUGACAUGGCCAGCACAGGAGGCGCUCAUCAAGGACCAAUCUCCCGACGUCCUCAUCACAGACUUCCACUUCUCGUGGAACGUCGGCAUCGCCGAGGAACUCGCCAUGCCCUGCGUUCAACUCAACGUCAUCGGUUUAUUCUCCACGCUCGCCGUAUACCUUGCCGCUGCCGUCGUGAAUGACUCCGAUUCGGAGGAGCUCACCGUCGCAGGGUUUCCGGGGCCGGAGCUACGGAUCCCGAGGUCAGAGUUGCCGGAUUUCUUGACCGCUCAUCGGAAUCUCGACUUAGUGGACAAUAUGCGCAAGUUGGUACAAGUGAACACGAGGUGCCAUGGCUUCGCCGUCAACUCGUUCUUGUUCCUGGACAAGCCAUACUGUGAGAAGUUCAUGUGCAACGGCUUCGCGAAGCGCGGCUACUACGUCGGUCCCCUCUGCCUUCCGCAGCCACCGGCCGUAGCUAGCGUCGGUGAGCCCACUUGCAUCAGCUGGUUGGACUCGAAGCCGAACCGAUCGGUGGUGUACAUAUGCUUCGGCACAUUUGCUCCCGUCUCGGAGGAGCAGCUCCAUGAGCUGGCUCUCGGGCUGGAAGCCUCCGGUAAGCCGUUCCUUUGGGCGGUUAGGGCGGCCGACGGGUGGGCGCCGCCGGCGGGGUGGGAGGAGCGUGUCGGUGACAGGGGAUUGCUUGUCAGAGAUUGGGUCCCGCAGACGGCGAUACUUGCCCACUCGGCGACGGCGGCGUUCUUGACGCACUGUGGCUGGAACUCAGUGUUAGAGGGUGUGACGGCUGGUGUCCCGUUGCUGACAUGGCCGCUGGUGUUCGAGCAGUUCAUCACGGAAAGGCUGGUCAUGGACGUCCUGCGGAUUGGGGAGAGGGUGUGGGACGGAGCACGAAGUGUACGGUACAAGGAGGCGGCGCUGGUGCCGGCGGCGGCGGUGGCGCGGGCCGUGGCGAGGUUCUUGGAGCCUGGAGGGGCAGGGGACGCGGCGAGGAUCAGAGCGCAGGAUUUCGCGGCGGAGGCUCAUGCGGCCGUGGCGGAAGGUGGCUCUUCGUAUGGAGAUCUGCGCAGGCUCAUCGACGAUCUUGUUGAAGCAAGGGCGGACGCCGGCGAGUCCGCGCUGCAACCUCUGUAACCUGUCGUUUCUCUAUACGAUACCGAGACAUUCGUUCCAGACUCCAUCCAGUUCAUCUCGUUCUGUUGCGUUCAAUCAAAAUAAAUUACGAUGUGAUGUAUUGAUACAUGGGAUCACCUAUAUAUUUGUUGAUAUAAUUUUUUAAAAAAUUUGACAGAUGUAAUUAUAGUAUAAUUGUGAUAUAAUUACACUGUAACUUAUAUGUAACUUCUAUGAAACUUUCAAAAAUAUCUUGUAAUAUAAUAUUGGUGAAACGGAGGUUGUGGGGACGAGUCCUCUCACAUGUGUGCGCUGUGACUUUCUUAUUCCUCACUUUUAUAAGUCUUGAAACAAAUAUAACGGUUCAAAAUUACGUGAAAAUUAAGUUAUAUAUAAGUUACACUGUAGUUAUAUGCAUGCAUGUUACAGUGUAACACUACUGGAUAAAGGGUUUUUAAUCCUAGUUUGUAACCCCUUAGUCCCGGUUUGAAAUAAUCAGGAUUAAAAAUCAUUAAGAUGGAGCCAAGGUAGGUUCGUUCUUUUCUUUUUUUCAUUAUUUUUAACUUUGAAUAUUGAUUUCACUAUAUCCCAAAUCAUCCCGUGAAAUCCCCAAAUCGAUCAUCACAUAACAAAAAGGAUCAUCUCCAUAUCCCCAAAUCAAUCAUCUCCAAAUACAUCACAAAUACAUCAUAUAUUCAAAUCACACACAGAUCAAAUACAUCACAAAUUCUCAAAAACAAUUUCAUCACAAAUCCUAAAAAAAAAACAAAUCUCCUGCCGCCGCCGACCCCGCCCCUGCCUGGUUGCUUGCCCUCCCGGCUCCGGCGUGCGCAAGCCACCGCGGCCCUCCGCUGGCCUCGCUCGCUCACUCCUCCUAGCUCGCUCCUCGAUCUGCCGACAGGAAGGAGAGGAUAAGAUCGGCUUUAAAGAAAAGGAUAAGAGAGAGAGGAGGAAUAGGAAUAUGAGGAGUUUAGGAGGAUAAGUAAUAGGAAUUAUAUACAGUAUAUGGAUUUUUAAGUACCGGUGUUACCAACCGGGGUUAAAGAUCAAUUUUUAGUCUCGUUUGGUCACACCAACCGGGACUAAAAAUCCCUGGCCCCCUGACAGCCUCUAAUAGUAAAUGAACCGGGACUAAAGAUGAUCUAUAGUCCUAGUUGGUGGGCCAAUAGAGUUUUAAACUGGGACAAAAAAAAUCAUCUUUAGUCCCGGUUUCUAUUCAAACCGAGGCUAUUGUGGAUUUUGGCCGACCAGGCAAAGAUGGUUUCUCCAUCAGUAUAAUUAUACUAGAUUGUACUGUAAUUGUAUCUGUCAAAAUUUUAGGCGAAAAUUUAUUGAUAAAUAUAUAGCAAAAUUGUUGAUACAUAACUUUUUUUUUUCUGCUGCUGCUGGAAAAAUCACGUUAUGGAGAGUACAAAUUAACCGAAGAACAUUUCUGACCUCACUUCAUCGAGAAAAAGACUAUUUUUCUGAGUACAUGUAAUUUUUGCUAGCUUGGAUAUAACGUGAAGCUUUUAGUUUCCGGCUUGCUAAAAUUAUGACGCUAUAUUUUUUUAAGGGAUUUCAGUCACUUUUUUUCUCCAUGUGAUUGCUCGGUCUCUUAUAUGUAUAUGUAUGUUUUCAUCUCUCCUAUUUUCUAUUUCAAGUAGAUAAUAAAUUACUUGAAUCCUAAUUCUCUCGUACAUUGUGCAUUAGAAAAAUUACAAUCAUAAUGUCGACGUUUGAUGUCGCGAUUUCGGUAUUUGCAUAUUAUGGGGAUCGUUGGAACUAGGAUAUACGCGAGACUGAGAUAAAAGAUAUGGGGACAGAGAUUUUUAUACAAGUUCGGGCCCCUUAAUUGUCAGGUAAUAACCCUACAUUCUGUUGGCCGAAGCCGGUAUUACUCUUAUUCACCAUAAUCACACCAGUACAAUAUUUGGAGUAGCCUAUUUAACUGUUGUCGACAUGGCGGUCUGAAGGUCUGACUCGUAGUCGAUAACAGGGUCCUCCUCGAGUUCGUGCCCGGCGAGAUCAAAGAUAGCGCUUUCGUCUCUCCUGACAGUAUCCGGAGACACCAUAGGGGACUAGCCGUGCCUAUCUUCGAAGUCGAUAUCCAGCGUCUUGUCUUGGCGUAUGUUGAUAUUGUGUCUUGAUUUAUUGUUUCGUGUCUUCUAUGGUGGUUGUGUGUUGAUCGUCUGUGUCCCCUCUCCUCCUAAGGGGCCUUGUAUUUAUACCCAUAGGUGUCCCCUUGUCCAAAUAGAACCAGAGAAACCAAUAUGGAUACAAUCCGAGUAGUCCUUGUCGUUUCCAUGUAGAAAUUUGGUUAUCCUUCCUUAUGCGGAACUCCUCCUAUAUCCGAAGGUUGUUUCCGUAUAAGACAUAGUAUGUGGUGGGUCCUGCCGAGAUUUAGUCAAUUAUUAUUAGGUAUGUGGUAUCCAUAACACUGACACAUAAUAUUGAAACUUACCAUGUAAUUAUAGCGUGAGUUUUGAUACUUUCAGUUACAAAUAUAAGUAUAUGUAAUUCAUAGUUGUAAAUAUAGCUAGUUUCGAGGGAGGUCAAGCAGACUACACGCAGCAAGUCAACACUGAAAAGGAGAGUGGCGAUGAGUCAUGGGCAAGGCCAAUGUUUGUGACUCAAUUGACAAUAAGAGUAGGAACCGCUGAAGAUAGCAAUAACUAUGGCAAUGUCUGCAAUGGUUAAGCUCAUGGAAAAACACAAGGUGGUCCUACCGAAGAAAAAAAAUUACUUCCCAACCAUGCCCAACAGGCAAAGAGCAAUGAAAAUAUUGUAUUAUAUUCCUUGUGGUAGCACCUUAAGCUUAAGAUCAUUUUUUGUUGCACUAAACUUAUCAUGUGCUCACACAAUGGCUAAGGUGUUAUACUAUUGCAGUAUUUAAUGCUUAAGGUUAACUUUUUGGAUACAUUGUGGUUGCCUGAGGCCGCAAGCAUCAGCCGCGCCACCGCCCGUCCUCAGACCUCAGGUGCGGCGAGCGGCGAGCCUGUGACUUGCAACAAGUUCCCGUUUUUAUUUAAGAAGAAAGCAGUUCUCAUUUUUUUUAAGAAGAAGAGAGUUGGUCUAAACCAGCCAUAAAUCCUCACAGUCGCUUGGUUAAUUAAAGCAAUCAGAAAAACAAAGGACAGGGUAAAAGCCUGCGGCAAACAACUACUGAGACCACAGUGCAACACAGGGUUGCCAAGCUCUUACUCAACCUAAACCACCAGAACAUGUCCACACAAAUUCUAUCUGAGUUUUAGCCGACACACUUGGUUGCCAAGCUCUUACUCAACCUAAACCACCAGAACAUGUCCACACAAAUUCUAUCUGAUUUCAGCCGACACACUUUUCAAGCUACUAAAACAGUAUGGUCUGUAAAAAAAAAUUCUAUGUAAAAGUUGGUCUGCAAUAUAAAUAAAUUAACUUUUCAAUUUUACAAUAAUUAAAACUCAAUUAAUCAUAACUUUCCCGUUUCAUGUGCCCUCACUUAAAAUCUUCAUGUUAAGCAAUUUCAAACAUAGGCACAUGUUGGGAAAAAAUUUCUAUGGAAGAUUUUUUAAGGAGUAAAACAGCUUCAAAGACGCUGUUUUUUGUUUGAAAGACGCUGUUUAACUGUGUAUAUUGCUUAUCGAUAGAAAAAAAAGGGAAUAUUUCAUUGUUUAGAUAGGAUUAGUGGCCUAGUGGAUGGCCAUUACAACUUUAAACGUUAUUCGGGGCAUUAUAUACGUCGUUCACCGAGUAGUUAUUCUGCAUUCAUUCAACCAACACAGCAACGUUCCAAACUAGAGAAGAACAAAAAGCUAAGGGCGUCUUUGAAUCGUAAGAAUGAAAAAAUGUAGGAUUUUGAUAGAAAUGUAAGUGUAAAACAGAGGAUUGCAAAACACAGGAAUGACCGUUUGAUUGGACCGCAGGAAAAACACAGGAAUUAGAGGAGAGAUAAAGACUCAAAGGAAAGUUUCCAUGAGGUUCUACCUCAUGUUAGAAUUCCUCCAAAAUUUACAUGGCAUUAGGCAUUCCAUAGAAAUUUCAUAGGAUUCCAUAAAAUUCAUUCCUUUGAUUCAAAGCGCUAUAUAGAAAAAAUUUCUAUAGGAAUGAAAUCCUCUAAAAUUGUUAUGAAUUUCCUUUAAAUAAAAAGGGGCCUAAGCUUGCGGAAAAGAAUGGCUUCUGCUGAGCGCAGCAAGAAGCUUCGAAUCCUUUUCAUCCCGUUCUUCGCCACAAGCCACAUCGGCCCCUUCACCGACCUCGCCGUCCGCCUCGCCGCGGCCAGGCCGGACAUCGUCGAGCCGACCAUUGCCGUGACCCCGGCCAAUGUCUCGGUCGUCCGAUCAGCCGUCAAGCGGCACGGCUCCGUGGCGAGCAGCAUGGUCAGCAUCGCCAAGUAUCCGUUCCCGGAUGUGGCUGGCCUCUCUCCGGGCGUCGAGAACCUCUCCACCGCCGGCGACGAAGGGUGGCGCAUCGACAACGCCGCCUUCAACGAGGCACUGACACGGCCGCCGCAGGAGGCGGUCAUCAGGGAGCAGUCCCCCGACGUCCUCAUCACGGACUCCCACUUCUCCUGGAUCGUCUACAUCGCCGAGGGCCUCGGCAUGGCGUGCUUCCGAUUCUGCGUCAUCGGUUUCUUCUCCAUCCUCGCCAUGCGCCUCCUCGCCGGCGCCGCUGCCGACGCGAACGGCUCCGAUUCGGAGUCGCUCACCGCCGCGGGGUUUCCGGGGCCGAAGCUGCAGAUCCCGAGGUCCGAGGUGCCGGACUUCUUGACCCGCCAACAGAAUUUCGACAAGUUUGACAUGCGCAAGUUGCAACAGUCGCAAGACAGGUGCCAUGGCAUCGUCGUCAACUCGUUCUUGUUCCUGGACAAGCCAUACUGUGAGAAGUUCGUGUGCAACGGCUUCGCGAAGCGCGGCUACCAUGUCGGCCCACUCUGCCUUCCGAAGCCACCGGCCGUAGGCAACGUCGGCGAGCCGUCGUGCAUCAGCUGGUUGGACUCGAAGCCGAGCCGGUCGGUGGUGUACAUAUGCUUCGGCACAUUUGCUCCCGUCUCGGAGGAGCAGCUCCAUGAGCUGGCUCUCGGGCUGGAAGCCUCCGGCAAGCCGUUCCUUUGGGCGGUCAGGGCGGCUGACGGGUGGGCGCCACCGGCGGGGUGGGAGGAGCGUGUCGGUGACAGGGGAUUGCUCGUCAGAGAUUGGGUCCCGCAGACGGCGAUACUUGCCCACUCGGCGACGGCGGCGUUCUUGACGCACUGCGGCUGGAACUCGAUGUUAGAGGGUGCGACGGCUGGUGUCCCGUUGCUGACAUGGCCGCUGGUGUUCGAGCAGUUCAUCACGGAAAGGUUCGUCACGGACGUCCUGCGGAUUGGCGAGAGGGUGUGGGACGGGCCCCGUAGCGUGCGGUACGAAGAGAAGGCGGUGGUGCCGGCGGCGGCGGUGGCGCGAGCCGUGGCGAGGUUCUUGGAGCCUGGAGGGACAGGGGACGCGGCGAGGAUCAGAGCGCAGGAGCUCGCCGCGGAGGCUCACGCGGCCGUGGCCGAAGGCGGCUCGUCGUACGACGAUCUGCGCAGGCUCAUCGACGAUAUGGUAGAAGCAAGGGCGGCCGCCGGCGGGGUUGCACCGGCACGGCAACCUCAGUAGUCUAUUAAUUUCGCUCCGUUGCCAUGAGCGAUGCACUACUCCUGCAGGGACUUCAGAAGUGUUGUUCUUGUCACUUGUGACUGUGAGAAGCGUUUAUUCAGAGUGCAUGCAAACCGCAGUCUUCAGUUGAUCAGCUCCAACGAAGAUCUGCACCUGCAAUAUAUAUUGGCUUAAUUUGGCCUUGUUCUAAUUUGAAAUUAAAGCUUUUAAGUUGCAUCUGAUAUCUGUCGUUGCCUUCAGAGGUUUCUAAUAUUUCCCUUCUGAAAAUUUCAUCUUGUUUACGUGAUCAUGCCAAGUUAGUGGAUAUUCACGUUAUCAUCCACAAGUUUCUAAAAGAUUGCUCAUUCCUCAUCAGAUUCCCCGGAAAUAUCAUUUUUGUCAAUCCACUUGUACUACCUAAUCUCUAUUAUAUAAAAGAACCCAGUGAUGGUAAUGAAAAUCUCCCAUCACUUAGAGUUGGUGGGAUUUUCUAAGGCUAGAUAAAUAUAUCUGCUUGUUUUUUUUAUGUUUGCUUGCAAAUUAUAUUUGACAAAUAUAAUUUCAAGUCAAGAAUCUCAGAUAUAUCUUUUGAAAUCGGUUGCAAGUCACGGGUACUUUGCUAGUUACUUCCUCUGUUUCGUAAUGUAAGUCAUUCUAGCAUUGUCCACAUUUAUAUAGAUGUUAAUGAAUCUAGACAAUCUAGAUAUAUAUGUAUGUCUAGAUUUAUUAACAUCUAUAUGAAUAUGGACAAUACUAAAAUGACUUACAUUGUGAAACGGAGGGAGUAAUAAAUAUCUAAAGUCAUGGAAAAACUAAUUAAUCUUUCUCAUAAGCACAUUAGGCCUCGUAAGCUGAAAAACAAAUGCCAUCAAAUGCAUGAUUGGAUAAAAUGAUGACCGUCCGAUCAGAUACAUACUCCCUCCAUAAAAAAACAAACCCUAGGUUUCCGUGUCAAAUGUUUGAUUGUCCGUCUUAUAUAAUUUUUUUUAUAUUAGUAUUUUCAUUAUUGUUAGAUGAUAAAACAUGAUUAAUACUUUAUGCAUGACUUGUCUUUUUAAUUUUUUCAUAUUUUUUAAAAUAAGAUGAACAGUCAAAUCUAGGGUUUAUCUUUUUUAAAGGACGGAGGGAGCAUAUGUAUUAUCCCUCCGGAGCCUUCUAGUGCCUCUCCUCGCGCACUUGGCAGGCAUGAAAGAGAACAAGCAACAUAUUUGGGAACUUAAUUGGCGGCAAUUUCAUAAGUUGAGUACUUAUGAAUUUGACACAUGGACCAAAUGAAACAAAUAUUGUCUCUAGUUUUUAAUAUAUGAUGUCAUUGACUUUUAAAUACAUAUUUGACUAUUCAUCUUUUUCAAAACUUUUUUUCAAAUAAAUAAUAUAUAAAUCAUGCUUAAAAUACUUUCAACGAUAAAACAACUCACAACAAAAAUAAACUACAAAUAUGUAAAUUUUUUUAGUAAGACAAAUAGUCAACCGUGUGUUUACAUGUUAAUGAUGUCAUCUAUUAAAAACCGAAGGUAGUAUGAAUUGUUUAUGUAAAAAACAUAGAAAUUCUAUGGCGGUUAUGUAUGUGACCUAUGGGCAACUUCAUAGUAAUAUUUAGGUCAAAGAUCAUUUUAGCUACAAAAGAAAAAAACAAUCUUAAUCUUUAACAAAGAUGGUUUCUCAUGGUCGUGCAAACACGCGACUUUGAGUAGCUAGUAUUUGUGAAAGGACGACGGGUACCAUUAUGUUUUAUAGAAAAAAAAUAUAUUGUCAGCAGGUAAGCGACCCAGAUCGUAGCUGAUCAGCGUGCUUACUUUUUUAAUUAGUAGUUUCAGUUACCAUCGCAUCGUGACUCACGGAGUGUACCUGCUUAUAUUAUUUUAAGUCGAUCAUAAAUCAAAUUUUGAAAUGCAACUAUACGUCGAGCGCCCAAUUCGAGGGUGGAAAAAUCGGACGCCCACAUCAAGCUGACGUCAAAUUACUUUAAACUAUUUUUUCUCUUAAAUUAUUUAUCCAAAUCAUAACCGAAUUGCACCAUUAAAUUCAUUACAAUUAAAUCUUUAAAAUAAGACCACAUAGGGAUAUAUUCCAAUGGAAAAAAUUUAACUUAUUAUUCAAUUAUUUUUAAAUAUUGCACGAUGUUCCACCAAGUAUAUCGAAAUUUGUUUCACUAAGUAAAUCGAAAAUGUUUCAAUCGUUUAAAUCAGGCGUUGUUUCACCUUAUAUGAAAACAAUGUUUCAGUUCACUGCAACCUUUGGUCCAUACAUAGUGAAACAUUAUAAGUAUACUAGGUGAAGCAUUUUUUUUUGGAAAAAAAUGAAACGUAUUCCCUUAUUAAAGGGUUUUCAUAAUACGUGGGUGAUUUGUUGUAAAAGAAUGUUUCAGUUCACUGCAACAUUAGAUCUAUACAAAUAAAACAUUAUUAGUACAUUAUUAGUACACUAGAUGAAACAUUUUUGCUAGAAAAAAAAUAAAAUAAAUUCUGUUAAUAGAGGGUUUCAAAAUAUGUGAGUGAUUUGUCACAACAAAAUAUAUAUAGUGGAGACACGUGACAGAUAAGAUCAAGGACAUGUGGUGGAGAACAGGAGCACGUGACAGGUAAGAUCAAGGACAUGUGGUGGAGAACAGGAGCACGUGCACAUCCGGGGGAGCGUCCGAUUUUACCUGCCCCGCCUGUCGCCCGAGCGCCACGAUUCUCCCAGAUUUUGGCCCCUUUCCAUUAAAAGAACAUGAGAUAUUGUUUUCCAGACAAGGACAGAACAAAAGCAGACUAUUAUCUGUUCUUGCCACGACACAGUACGAAUCUUCGAUGACAAGAGGGCAAGACAAAAAUACGUGGCAAGCAUGCAGCAUCAGAAUACUACCCUUUAAUUAAUCGUAAAAUAAUCAAAUCAAUUCAGCAAAUAUUAAUAUAUAGUCUGUGAGUGAUCUAGCUGAGAUUGAGAAGCGGCUAUUCCACAAUAGUUCGAUCGUCAUCUGAUUGCAGACAUCGCCCACUUUCGCCAACCAAGAGCAGGAAAAUGGCUUCGGAUGGCAGCAGCAAGAAGCUUCGCGUCGUGCUCAUCCCGUUCUUCGCCACCAGCCACAUCGGGCCCUUCACCGACUUCGCCGUCCGCCUCGCCGCGGCAUGGCCGGACGCCGUCGAGGCCACCCUCGCGGUCACGCCGGCGAACGUGCCCGUCGUUCGAUCGCUGCUCGAGCGGCACGGCCCAGCCGGCGCGGGGUCGGUGGCGAUAGCCACCUACCCGUUCCCGGCGGUGGACGGCCUCCCGGCGGGGGUCGAGAACCUCUCCAAGGCGGCGCCCGGGGACGCCUGGCGCAUCAACGCGGUGGCCGACGACGAGGCGCUGAUGCGGCCGGCGCAGGAGUCCCUCGUCAGGGAGCUCCGCCCUGACGUCAUCGUCACCGACGCGCACUUCUUCUGGAACGCCGGCCUCGCCGACGAGCUCGGCGUGCCGUGCGUUCAGUUCUACGCCAUCGGCGCCUUCUCCACCAUCGCCAUGGCCCACCUCGUCGGCGCCGUCAAGGAAGGCGCCAAGGAGGUGACCAUACCUCGGCUCCCCGGCCACGACUUGACGAUCCCGACGACCGAGCUGCUCCAAACCCAAGAACGCCAAUUCGGGGCCAUCAGCCUACUUUGGCGUCGUCGUCAACACGUUCUUGGACCUCGAGGCCGAGUACUGUGAGAUGUACACGCGAGACAAACACGCCAAGCGUGCCUACUUCGUCGGGCCCGUCUCGCCGGCGCCGCCGCCAUUGCCGGCAUCCGGUGAGUCACCAUGCCUCGACUGGCUGAGCUCCAAGCCUAGCAGGUCAGUGGUCUACCUCUGCUUCGGUAGCCUGACCCACGUGUCAGACACUCAGCUCGACGAGCUGGCCUUGGGGCUGUAGGCUGCCGGGAAGCCAUUCCUGUGGGUGGUGAGGACUGACAUGUGGGCCCCACCCGAUGGCUGGAAGGAGAGGGUCGGGGACAGGGGGAUGGUCAUCAGAGGUUGGGCCCCACAAAAGGCGAUACUGGCCCACCCGUCAGUGGGUGCCUUCGUGACGCAAUGCGGGUGGAACUCGGUGCUAGAGGCGGUCAGCGCCGGUGUCCCGGUCUUAACAUGGCCAAUGGUGUUCGAGCAGCUGGAUUUUUCACAUUUUGGUCCUUUUGAAAAACUUAUUUCACAAAUAGACCCCUAGAAAAACUUAUCCCAAAAAUGGUUCUUUGGGGCGCCAGAGUAGCUGGCGCCGUCGUCCAACAGGACGGCGUGGCGCCGUCCCCCUGCCGACGUGGCGGGGCGAUGCUGAGGUGGCUAGGGAGUGCGCCAGAGUGGCUGGCGCCCCCCCACCGGGAAUUUUUUUUUUGUUUUAUUUGUUUGAUAUUUUUUUCACGCUUAGGGACACACAAGAACCAACCAUAGAAAAAUUGAACUCAAAUGGACGUAAUAUGUGACCUGUAGAAUUUUUCCUCUCCUCUCCUCUCUCUCCGAACUAGUGCAAAGGAGAGAUGUGCAACUUUUUUAUUUUUAUUUUAUUUUUUAAUUUUUUUUUCACACUUAGGAACUCACAGGAAUCAACCAUGUAAAAAAUAAACUCAAACGGACAAAAUAUGUGGCAUGUGGAAUUUUCCAAAGUUCUACCGAAAAACUUUUCUCCUCGAAAACACAAUCUUGCAAGCGGAAUUUGGAGGUUUUAAUAUCUCCGAACCCGGCAAAGCUGGGGAGAAUCGGAUGUAACAUUUUCUGUAGAUGUCCGUGCAUAUAUUAUUUGCCUGAUUCCGAGUCCGUAUGAGAAAGUUACGCCUAUUUUAAUAGAUGACAUAUUCUGUCCGUUUCGGUAGAGUUUUGGAAAAUUCUAGUUUGAGUUUAUUUUUUAUACGGUUGGUUCCUAUGUUCUCCUAAGUGUGAAAAAAAUAUCAAAAAAAUGAAAUAAAAAUAAAAAAAAUUGCAUCUCUAUGUACUGUUUAACUUAUAUAUGUCAUUUCAUGUGGUUAUAUUUUGAAUUAGAGUGCAUUAUAUUUAACAUGCUGAUCAAAGGGUUUUACUAAAGGAAUUAUGGUCUAAUUUUAGUGAAGGUGCAAAGUAGACUAAGUGGUAUGCUAGCUAUUUUCAGACUUAGCUAAGUGGUAGUUUGAGUUUAAAUUUUUUUUGUGGUUGGUUGUAUCGUGAUCCUAAGUGUGAAAAAACAUCCGAAAAAAUAAAAUAAAAAUGACACCGUUGCAACUCCAUACAGAGAAACAGGAAUGGAGGCGGCGGCGCCAGCAUGGCUGGCGCCCUCCUCCUGCCACGUCGGUUCGCGUGCGCCACGGUGGCAGGAGGACGGCGCCAGCCUCUCUGGCGCCGUCCCGUUGGAUGACGGCGCCAGCCACUCUGGCGUGAAAAAAGGACCAUUUCUGGGAUAAGUUUUUUUAGGGGUCUAUUUGCGAAAUAAGUUUUUCAAAAAGACCAAAAUGUGAAAAAUCCAGGUUCGAGCAGUUCGUCACCGAGAGGCUCGUGACGAAGGUGCUCGAGAUCGGAGAGCGCUUAUGGCCGGAGGGCGCCGGAGUACGAAAUACCAAGGAUGAGGAGAAGGAGGUCGUCCCCGCGAAGGCGGUGGCGGAGGCCGUGACGAAGUUCAUGGAGCCAGGAGGGGCAGGGAGGCGGCGAGAUGCGCCAUCAAGGAGCUCGCCGUGAAGGCUAAUGCCGCCGUAGCAGAAGGCGGCUCAUCGCACCGUGAUCUGCUCCGCCUUAUCGAUGAUCUCAUGCAAGCCAAGUAAUGGUAAUGCUUGUAAGAUAAACCAGCUCUGUUUUAAAAUAUUUGUUGCUCUAAAUUUGUUGUAAGUUAAUUGGCCAUCAAUUUCUAUGAACUCAUACAGUUUACUAUCAUAAGAUUAAUAUUUUUAAAUUCACCAUAAGAAAUGCUUUCAUAAUAUAUAAUUUACAUUUACAUGCCGUUGAACUAUAUAAUUUUUUCAAAAUUAAUGGUUAAAAAUAGACAUGUUUGACUUUAGACAGAUCUAAAAUAGCAAGUAAUUUGAAAUGGAAAGAGUAACCUUUUUGUUCUAUUUGAUGCAUUGAGCUCCUGAGUUUAUCAGAUUUAUGUUUAAAAGACGAGCUGUUUUACUUUUACCUCAAGUUACAGCUCACUGCAACAUCUACUGAUCAAUUCGCUCAGAUGCAGCCUGAACCACUUCCCAAACUGUAGCAGUUCACUGAAACAUAGGCUAUGUUUAGUUCGUACUAAAAUUGAAAGUUUGGUUAAAAUUAAAACGAUUUGAUGGAAAAAGUGAAAGUUAAUGUGUAGAAAAGUUUUGAUGUGAUGGAAAAGUUGGAAGUUUGAAAAAAAAAAUUUGUAACUAAACACGGCCAUGCUGAUGAAUUCACUGCAACACUGACCUCUAAGAAAGAUCAUUGCUUCUCCUCUCUUCCAGUCGCAUUGGAACGCCCAGGAGAAAUCUAACCAACUUGGCUGUGUUCGUUAUAGGAGGUUGGGAAACGAAACGGUUCAUUAGCACGUGAUUAAUUAAGUAUUACCUAUUUUUUUAAAAGAAUGGAUUAAUCUGAUUUUUUUAAAGCAACUUUCGUAUAGAGUUUUUUUUUUUAAAAAAAAAACGCAUCGUUUAGCAAUUUAAAAAGGGUGCGCGUGAAAAAUGAGGGAGAAGGGUUGGGAACAAUCUCAUACGAACGCAGCCUUAGGUCACCGGUGAAUUGGUCGCCAUGAGAUUGUACAGCACUAAAUACCUGGAUAUGAGAACUUUCACUGUACAAUAUACUUGUGGUAUAUACUGUUAGUAUAAACGAUCUAUACUUGUGAUAUAUACUGUUAGUAUAAACGAUCUAACGGUGUAUAUUGAUUUAAUUUUCCACCUAAAAUAUAUGCUAGUAUAAAAUUUACAAGGGUUUCCCUAGAAAAAGUAAAACUUACAAGGGUCAGGAAUUAAUUUAGAUAAAAAAGUUUCGGUACCCGCAUCGAGUUGUAUGAAUGUGUUUACCUAGCUAGGAAUGUUCAGAACGUGUAAGGCAUUUCACGCACAUCUGUUAUGUUACACCUUACAUUACGUGAUCGGUAAUUGGUCACUUGUAAUCAAAGUAUGUAAAAUUUUAAUGAUGAUUAAGGAAUUGUGCCACCGCAACACGCACCAUCAUCUCUCACAGGCGUACAAAUGAAAUCCAGCAGCGAUGCCGGCAGCCUGACAUGUGAACGAGUCCCAAUUAGACCGGAAUAACUCUUAACCACAGAAUUCAAUUUUCUAUAAAACUUCUAAUUUACCCAUCUAUAUACUAGCACUACAAUGUAAAAGUUCUCCAGUAAAAUAUGCACAAACAUAUCAUGGAAAUUACAAUAAUCGUUUUUUUGAAAAAAAAAGUUAAAAAGGAUCAAUGAAGUUCUCCGUCUGCUUGGCGCCUUUUUUCCGCAUACUUUACGGCAACAUCUCUGUUCCUCUGUUCUCAUUCAAGAUAAUAAAAGUUAGUGCAGAACUUCCCCAACAGAAAAAUGCAUGUGCAGCUAAAAUCAGAAAACAAAAAAUGAAAUGACCAAGUGCAUUUUUUGCCAAAAAAAACACAAUUUGUGAUAAAGACUACUUGUUAAUACACAAUUCUCCAGGUAGUUUUUUUAUUUUGGAAAGAACACUAAUUACUGUGCAAAUAAUUACCGAGAUAACUAGAUACUACAAAUUACAAAGAGUAAUGACUGAGGAAGAAGGUAUUAGUUGCUUCAUGAAUGGCAAAUGCAGCAGCUAAUCACUUACUGGAAAUCGAAUGACUACUUGAAAAUUGAAUGAGCAAUUGGGACAGUUCUAAAGUAGAGAGUUAGGGAAUUACCUGCUUUAUAGCGUUGAGAGACACAUCUGGAUCAUUACUAAUGAACCUCCCAUGAGCAUUCCGCUGAGCAAUGUACAGGUUCCAGUCGAACUCGCGACGGAGAUCCAUGCGCCUGAAGUGUUCAUCCGUCCAGCCCGCGUAUCUCGUACGACCAAAAGGGAGGCCCUUUGCGUCUUCGGUCUCAUCGAGCUGCUCCGCAGCUUCGUUCAAAAUACUGAGAUAAACACGCCAGUUAAUUUUGCCAUCUUUGAACAGGUACCCGCAUCCUCCUCAGCAUCACCAGCUGCUGGCACUGCUGCUACAGUACACAUGAACAACAUUAGGUCACAAGAAACAGGAAUCCCAUCCGAGGCGACUCCAAAUUCAUCAUACCUGAAUCCGAAUCCUCUGUGUUCUUGUCGAGAUGCAGAACUGCGACCAACCCUGCCAACGCACCACUGUAGAAUACUCGCCUCCCCGUCGCCGCCGCCGCCGCCUGAAUAGAGAGCCCCAGCCAGGGCUCCGCCUGCGCCUGCGCGCGUGGCGAGAGCCUCCGGGUGAGGAGCGAACCGAGGGUCCGGAGGGCCAUGGCCGCCGGCCGGAGUGCGCGCCUUCUUCCUCCGACGACUCGAAUUCCUCUUCGCCCUCUCCUCCGCCGCCGCCGCGCGCCUCGAUUCGAUUUCUUAGUGGUUCAUGGGCUUGAUUGAUGGGUUUCGCUUCCGAUUUCCGAUUGACACGGCUUUGGAGAGGCGUUGGGGGGCCAAAAUAUAGGAUAGGAGUCCGGUUUGCCUCCCUCAAGUGUAGCUGCAGUCUGAUUCGAAUAACUAAACCCUCAACUGUAGUCACAGUCUGAUUCGUAUCCUUAACUGUAAUAAAAACUGUAAUCUCUUCUUUUAUAAAAAUUAAAGGUGUUUCCGUGUUCCAUCAUCCGUGUUUGAGUCGAUUAUAAAAAUUGAAGAUGUUUAUGUGGUUUGUUAUCCGUGUUUGAGUCGGUUUUAAUUUUAUGUUUUGGUUUUAAUCUAUAUCUCUUCUUUACUAUUAUAGAAAUUAAAGAUAUUUUUGCCAGUAUUUUGGUACGUCAUCCGCGUAUGAGUCAGUUUUAAGUUCGUUUGCUUUUGGAAAUACAUAUCCGUAUUUGAGACGGUUUUUAAGAUCGUUCACUUUUGGUAAUACAUAAGGAAUCAUAUAAGAAAUCUGUUUAAAAAAGGAUAAUCGAACUCCUAACUGCAGCUUAUGAUUUUCUAAAAAUAUAUAUAUCCAAGCGAACUCCCACAGUGAAUUUCAUCUUAACUAAACCAUAUAAUAAUAAUAAGAUUAAAAUAAACUUCACCUGUUGCAAUGCACGGGCAUUUUUUCUAGUAAAAUAAUAUAAUAAAGCUUCCUUUAACUAUUAAAACCGAGUUAAUUUAACCUUCCGUAAGGGUUUCCCAUCAUUCUGAGCCUGCACAUUUUGCCACCCAUUUAUAGGGAAAAUUGGAGCCAUGCCAUUAUAAUUUUGCAAAAUUUAAGAUAUGCCAUCCUGACCCACAUGUCAUUGACUCAUGUGGGUCCUACAUGUCAUUGAGAUACCGAUGACAUAUCUCAAACUUUACAAAAUUAUAAUGGCAUGGUUCUAAUUUACCUUUUUUAUAUCACAUGAAUGCAUGAACUCAAAAUCAUUGCAGUUCACUGCAACAUCUACGGACGAAUUCACUGCAACACUGACAUAGAGAAAGAUCAGUUUUAGGCUCAGGUAUUACAAAUUUUGGCCUUCAGAUCAAAGCCAAACAACUACGUGUCAGUGUACAUAAUUUUGGCCUGUGGACAAAGCUCGUGAAUUGUCAAUUUUUGUGUUUAAACCACGAACUGUUUUACGAAUUAAAUUUGAAAAUACAUUGUUCAUUCAUUUUUUUCUUAGGAAUAUUCGGGAUGCAAAAUCUUUUGCAGAAAUAUACCGUCUAUCUCGCAUAACCGUUGCGCGAAAAUGACGUGGGAAUAACGUUGCGGACGGUAUCACUAAGUGAAAACGCGAGACCGCGCGGCCUCACGGAAUGGAAGAGCGAUCAAGCAAUCAACGAUACCGGUGCCAUGCGGUCUCGCUCAAGCAAUCAACGAUAAUCCGUAAUCCAGAUAAUUAAUCACUAAUUAUUAUUAUUAGUUAAUUGUUAAUGAAGUAAUUAAUAACUAAUCAAAUGGAGUCGUUGGACAAUGGACUGUCGCUGAUUGCUUGAGCCGGUCUCGCUCUUCCAUUUCGCGAGGCCGCGCAUGGUCUCGCGCUUUCACCGCGUGAUACCGUCCGCGAUGUCAUUCCCACGUCAUUUUCGCGUAAUAGUUGUGCGAGACAGACGGUAUAGUUCUGAAAAAAAAUUUGUAUCCCGAAUAUUCCUGAUAAAAAAUUGAAUGAACAAUAUAUUUUCAAAUUUAAUUCACAUGGAAGCAUAUGAACUCAUCAAACUCGUUAUGGUUCACUGCAAACUUCUACUGGCGAAUUCGCUCAUAUGCAGUCUGAACGAAUUCUCGAAAUCGUAAAAUUACAUGAAAACAUCUGCUACUGUCGAAUUCAUUCAGAAAAGAAAAAAAAAUCUAGUACUGAUGAAUUCACUGCAACAAUGGCCUCGAGAAAGAUCAUUGCUUCUUCUCCUUCCUUCCUCCGGUGACAUUGGACACGAGCCCCCGGAGGAAUCUUGCCGACUUGGUCACCGGCGAGUUUGCGGCCAUGACGUUGUACAGCAUGGUCUCCACCUCGCCGAUCGUCGGCCGCCGCUUCAGCCGCGACACCACCUUGAACUGCUCCGACGCCGGCGCGGCGGCGUCGUCCUCCACCAUGAGCACCCAGCUCUCGCCGCCGAACCUGCCGCCGUCGACGCACCGGAGCAGCACACCCUUCUUCUUGCUCAGAAGGCCCCUCACCUCCAGCCCCGUGAAGGAGUACACCACGCUGAAGGAGCCCACGAAUCCCCUCGCGCCGCCGGCGAACCCCUCCUCCUCCUCGUCGAAGCUCCACGCCGGGUUGAACAUGACCACCGGCUUGGUGUCCAGCGCGUCGGCGGCGGCCUUCAUCUUCUCCACCUGCGACCGCCCGGGCGCCAGGAACACGGCGGCGUCGCAGCUGCUCAGCGCGUCGGGCGCCACCGCGUCGAGCUGCGCGUGCGCCGUGGAUUCCCCCCAAUCAUGGGGCUCCCGUAGAGCCACACCCAUCUCCUCGGAGGACGGCCACACGAGCAGCAGCCUCGCCGGCGCGCCGCCGCCGCCGCCCUUCCUCGACAAGCCGAGGCCCGACGAGAACACGUCGGAGGCGAGGCGCGCGAGGGAGCCCGGCGAGUCGUCGACGACUGGUAUCUCGGCGCGGAACCGCGGCUGCCGCUGCUGCUUCCUCUGCUUGCCGAGCGGCUUGCGCAGCGCGGCGGCGAGGCAGGACCUCGCCUGGGACACGGCCUCCUCCCUCGACGACGGCGGCGAGGGGGCCGCGCCCGCCUGCGUGGACGACGAGGAGCGGACGGGUCGCGGCGGCUGCUGCUCGCGGAGGAGCAGCGAGAGAUGGAGAAGAGAUCGCUGCCGCUGCGGUGGCGCGAACUGCCGAGAUGGUGGCGGGAACGACGGUUUGGGCGCGAGUUUGGAGGGAGGAGUGUUCAGGAAGCUCAAGGCCAUUGGCGCCAGAAGCUUCGCUGCCGGGAGGAGAAGAUAAGGUGGCUGCUUGCUUUUGACAUAUCAACUGCUCUAGUAUCAGUAUGUCUCAUUGGCCAUAAUUUCUUCAGAGAUUCAGUGCUCAAGCUAGCCUUUUUUUUUUUUUCACUUAGAUGUGAUUACAAAGAUGGUUAUGACUAACUGACAGCAUGCUAUGCUUAACCUUUGUAUUGAGGCAGACUUUCAACAUCACAAAAUGGGCAACGAAUUCCAUCAUUAGUCACUGAACUUCAGCCAACAAUGAACAGUCAGUGUGAAGAAUACACAUAUUGAAGUGCUUCAUCAAAUGAGCACACCGAGGAUUAUAUAUGUCGAGAAUGCUUGUACCCACACAAACUACAAUAAUUACAAACAAAUAAUUUCAUAUUCUCAGUGUCAUUGGACUGUCGAGCAUGAGUUAGCGUAAGCAAAGCAUUAAGCUGAACCAGGAAUGCUGAAUUUGCAGGUUUUGAACCAUGAUAAAAAGUUAUUCGGUUCCCAGACUCUCAACUCAGGCUGUGUUUAGAUCCAAAGUUUGGAUCCAAACUUCAGUCCUUUUCCAUCACAUCAACCUGUCAUACACACACAACUUUUCAGUCACAUCAUCUCCAAUUUCAACAAAAAUCCAAACUUUGCGCUGAACUAAACACAGCCUCAGAUGAAUAUUUCAGGAACAGAACUUGUCAAGGAUUCCAGGGUUGGGUCAUGAGAAGCAGCGUUUCCUUGCAUAGGCAGAAAGUGGUAUGUACAAAAUCAUGCGAAACAUUAUAGGAACUAUUCAAGUCAAAUUACAGGUCAUGCCUCAAACAAUGAGGUAGAUAUUCAUGUUCUUAAUAUUCAAAUUCAAGCAUUGUUCACUAGAGGUUCAGAUUCCAAUUUGUUCAGAUUCCAAUUUGGUAAUCGAUUUACGGUUGCCAUGCAACCUGUGGCCCUACAGUAGAUGUUCAUUCAGUGAGGUAUCUUCAGAAAACAUUCAUGCCAUCAGCCAUGUCAACAACUCAACAUAAGAAACAUGAGGCUGUUCAGAAUCCCACUCCUAGGGGAGUAACCACAAGAGUAAAACAAGUUACAGUUAAGAAUUGUGAUGGCCAGUUUCAUAAUUCAACAAGGCAACUUCACUCAACAAAUCAUCUAAGCAGGUAAUAGCUCACCUCGUUUUGUGUAUCUUCUCAAUCUUCUCAAUCCCCUUCUCCUCAAACUCACCCUAAGUGACCAAACCCGACAGCAUGGACAAAUGAACCCUCAGAAAGCCAGAAUCAGGUGCACUAAUUGAUCCAUUGGUUGGGGAUUAGAACAUCAUCUUAUUGCUAGUCAGAUAUUCGGAUGACAAAGAAACAACUUAGUAUUUUUAACAUGUGCUACAAUUUAGUUCCCAGGGGCGGAAAUUCAGAAAGGUUGCAGGAAGAGACACCAGCACGACAUAUAACAGAAUAUAUGUGAUCAACGACUCAACGAGGAAAUUGGUGGUUAAAUGCAGGGCUAUGUGAUCAACGAGGAAAUUCGUGGUUAAAUCGAGGGCUAUGUGAUCAACGUUUGAUUUCUUUCCUUCUGAAUGAAUAAAUUGUAUAACAUUCACUUCCUACAUAAAUUGAGUUUUCUGAAAUUAGGCCAACAUUACCCACGAAUUCCAGUGUUGUGGACCUGCUAGUAAACUGCAAGCUUCUAUAAUCCUAGCGAGCACACAAAUUCGAAAGCUUUCGUUGGUGUCAAGUGAACUCAUCUACAGCAGAAUACAAAAUCAAACAUGAUAGCUCAAAUCUUAUCAAGAUACUCAUCAACAACUCAAGUUUUAUUUCAAGAUAACGCCUGGGUAGCUGAUACAGGUAUGCAGACGAAAGAUCACACCUAUAUUACUCAUAAUAUAUAAAACCUGGUACAGCUCAAGAUGCCCAGGUGCCGGAGCAUGUGGGAUGCUCAGAAGACGAUGCGGAACUGCGGCGCGCCCUCGCCGGCGGCCGGGACGAGCUCCCAGCGGCAGGGCUCGAGGUCGUCGGACACGGGGCAGUACCCCGCGAGCGUCACGGCGGCGCCGGACUCCGCCGCCGACCCGAACUCGAAGACGGUCGCGUCCGCCUGCCGCUGCCGCCGCAGCACCUCCACCGCCCCCUGCGUGCCCCCGGCCGCCGCGACCUCCGCCACACCCGCGCCACCCGCUCCCUUCGCCGGCUCCGGCGAGCCGCCGCCGCCCCGCCGCCACCACGAGAAGAGCCCCAUCUGGAUUAGGGAAAUAUUAGGGUUUUUGGACUUUUUGGUGGGCGAAAAAAAAAUCUGAAAGAAGAAGAGAUCGUGGAGAUAUCACUACCCAGUGGGCCCCACAUGUCAGCCUCUCCACAAGUUUUUAACUAAAGCUAUAUGGGCUUGUGAGUUGUGAUGCGAUGGGCUUCUGGGCAGCCCAGUAGGAAGAAGCGGCCCACGGAGAUUAGUCGUCGUCGUCGUCGUCUCCCUCGCAUGGCAAAUGCAGUGGAAAUCUCCAGAAAAAGGAAAAAAAGGCGGGAAUCACAUCGUCUACUACCUCCAAACGGAAUCACACCUCUCAUCCUCUGCUUUCCGCAAAAGCCAUCACCACCACCACCACCGCCUCUUCUUCCUCCUCCUCCGCGUACAAGAACCUCUCCCCGCGUGCGCCCAGCACACACACCUGCGCCUCAUCUAGACAGGCAGUCGAUCGAUCAGUCAGUCGCCAUCAAUGCCGCCGCGGCGGGGGAUCGAGGUCCGGCAGGCGGUCGGCGACGGAGCAGCGCCGAGGUGGCGCAUGUCGCUGCUGGAGAACACGUUCAGCUCGUUCCUGCAGUCGAUCGGCGGCGGCGUGGCGGCGGACGGGGCGGCGGCGAGGGCCGUGUUCGGGGAGGGGUCGCUGUUCAGCCCCUUCCUGUUCGGCAAGUUCUUCGACCCGGCCGACGCCUUCCCGCUGUGGGAGUUCGAGCCGGAGGUGCUGCUCGCCGCGCUCCGCCGCGGGGCCAGGACCACCGUCGACUGGGCCGAGACGGACUCCGAGUACUACCUCAGAGCUGACAUACCAGGUAAAUUCACCAUCUCGAGUACUGGCUUUGAUUAAUUUCUCUCCUGUUUUUCUCCAUUUCUGCGUAGUUAAGGUCCAUAUCUGCUUUCUGUUUGUGCAUAUUGUGAUUAGUUCUCAUCACUAAUCUUGUUAGUAAAAAUUAAUGAGUAUAGCAUGUUUUAGUUUGUGUAUGCUCUUCCUUAGUUCAUAGAUUAUCUUCUUUAGCAUGUUUUAGCACGUUCUGAAGGGAAAAAAAACUGAGUUAACCUUACACAUUUGUCAGAGAUUAUCUUGCUUGUGCGCAAUCCAAUCUUCAGGUUAACUGGCAGGAACAGCUGAGCCUGAUAAAUGUUUGUACUUUGUACUAGUGUUGCUGGAUCAAUUUUCUGAAACAGAAGUUCUUGCAAAGAGUGCACCAAAUUAAUUCACAUGCCGUAUUGCUAUCAGCAAGAACUUCAGAAUCAGAUUCAGAUGCCACGGAGACAGGGAGUUUUUUCAACUUCCUGUAGGAAACCAAACAGUUGACAUUUGCUAGAAGUAGCCGGGUUAUACCAGAGGAUAAAACUUGCAACAUGAAAGUAACUAGGGUCAUGUGGUUUCCCCCUUUUUCUUCCUGCGCUUUUCUCUGCUUUUUCACUACAGUAACAUUGCGAUCUCGCUGUCUCUGAAUUUACAUAUUCUUUGCGUCUGGUUGCGGUGCACCAUCCACCAUGGUCCAAAAAAAAGCAGACAUUUUUUUAAUCAGAUGAGGAAGAGAAAAAAGCAGUCAUGGCGUGUGCCGGACGAUUACGAAACCCUAAAAAGAACCUAAUCGCUUUCACAUUAUUGUAGUGAAACUAGUGAUCGAGUUAAUCAAGAAGCAACUGCUGAGAGACUAGCCAACUGAUUUUUGUUCAGGUGGGAGGAAAUGCGACGUGGAGGUGAGCGGCGACGACGCCAUGAGGGUGGUCGACGUCAGCGGGCUGUGGCGGGCGGCGCCGCCGCCGCCUCCGCCGGACGGCCGGGACUGGCGCGCCGGGCGGUGGUGGGAGCACGGCUUCGUCCGGCGCGUCGAGCUGCCGGAGGACGCGGACUGGAGGAAAGUGGAGGCCUUCUUCGACGACGGCGAGGGGUUGCUCGAGAUCAAGGUGCCCAAGUCCGGCGACGCCCACCAAGCGGCGGCCGCCACCGCCUGAGAAUCCUAACCUCGCCGGCGUCGCCGCGCGAUUGGAGAGAGCAAAUUAUUCUUCUUCUGAGUUCUGACAGUGACGGUGAAGAUGGCACAAAACUUGAUAAGAAUUUCUCAAAGAUAUGGAGGGACCAAAAAGUGAGCAAAGAUCAUCUCACACAUGUUGCAUAUGCAUUAACGUCCAAUCCAUGUGCCUGCAGAUGAUUUGUACUAGUACUAAUGUGUUAGCUUACCGUUAAAAAUGGAUCAUUAAUUAGCAUCGUGCAUAUGCAUCAGCAUCACAGUCACAGCAUCGCUGUCGAAUUGGUCGACGAUAAAAUGGGUCAUCGAGAUCAUAAAUUCGAUUCCGGAAUACAUGAACAUAUAUACAUAUCUAGGUCGCUGCUUUGAGAAAGUUGGAUUCUUCCAUUUUCUUUCGGCCAUGAUGUCUCGCUAUCACCCCGUUCUUUUUUCUCUCCCAGUGGCGGCAGAUGAGAAUCGGAAUUGACGAAAGCAAGACUGCUUUUUCUUCAGAUCUUCAGGUAAUUGUACCGCGUCGAAACUUUGAUUGGCCUGAUGGCUGAUGGCACUCAUCAUUUUGGUCACUGGAUUGCUUUAGAUUUUUGGUCACUGGAUUGAUUUAGAUUUUCAGCAAAUAAAUAAAAAAAAUAAAAAAGCAUUUUUUUUCACUCUCAGUGCGCACCUGGCAGUUGUUCGGUUUUUUUGUAUCACUGUAGCCUGAUGCCCUAUUAACUGAAUUCUCAUGCCACUCGAUUAGAUGAACAUGUCGACAAGUGUCACUAGGAACUCCCUGUUCUUUCCGAUUCUUUAUCAGCAGCUUUUACUGGUGCAUCAUGUAUGGUAUCCUGGAGUAAUCUGUACUGGCAAAUGACAAGAAAGUGCAACCUGUGAAGUAUCAGUACAGGUGGCUCCUAUAAACCGGAGCUGAAUUCCAUGUCCUUUUGCUCUGUUUCUCCAACCUAACGUUCGUCAAAAUCAAUGAGAAAAAGACAGAGAUACGACAAAGCAGGGAAACAAACAUACCCCAAAUUGUGUUUCAGUCACGCUCAGAGAUGCUGAAUCCUGUGGAUUUUACCCAUCUAGAAUUGGCCUACAUGCUCGUUGUGUUCUUGGAGAGACCGCCCCUGGGAUAGAAAAUUGGGGUGCAGUCGUGCAGAGAAUGACAGGUUCAGGUUAUGUUUAUUGGGGAAUUUCAGCCUGUAUCUGAACUGACAAACAAGAGUCUGGCCGGCUAUGGUUGCUUCCGCAGUCACCUUCUCACGGGCUAAUAAUGCAGAUAAUAUUUUGGUUCUUGAGAAAACAACGAGGAAUGCCAUAUUUUUUAUGUAAAAUUUAGUAUCUUACUUUAACUAAUCAUCUGAGUUAUGGAGGUAUUGAGAGACUAAGAGGCCAAAUUCUACACUGAAAAAUGUGAUACAUAAUACCUCUUCGAAUACAAUAAAGUCACGCAAUAAUGUAACUACUAGUCUACUACAAAUAAUCAUCGUGAAAGUGAAACAUAUCAGAUACAGUUACUAAGCUGACUGAUACAAACAUGAACAAGAACUGUCUGAAUUGAGCUUCUCCUUUGAGCUUUUUGGUCAAAUGAUUUGGGGACUCCCUUUGUAGUUUGAUCAGGCCAGUAUCAAGAAGCCACGUAUUUUACUCCCUCUGUUUUCCUAGAUAGUACUUCCUCCGUAUCAUAUUAUAAGACUUUUUAGCAUUGCUCACAUUCAUAUAUAUGUUAAUGAAUCUAGACAAACAUCUAUAUGAAUGUGGGCAAUGCUAGAAAGUCUUAUAACCUGAAAUAGAGGUAGUAGAUAAUUUGUUACCAUUGAUCAUCACUUUUUCAAUUUUGACCAGUACAAUAAUUAUUGUUAUAUGGUUAGUCUAUGAUGAAUGAAAGUUUAAUACCUAUACACUUUGAUAAUUUGGUAUCUUUUAAAGUACUUAUUCUUUUUUUUGGAAAAAAAAGAAGAAAAAUUGUCAAAGUUGAAAUGUGAAUAGUACCUUGUACUCUCUCCUCGAGACUUCAUAAUAUCCCAAACGUAUCUACCAUAAUAUUAGCACACCAAAUCUCAUACUAGUAUAUAAUCAAAGCACAAUCAGACAAGGAUGUUGUGGAUGACAUCACAAUUGUCUUUUACCCCAUGGAAAGAGUCCAAAGGGAUAUCCUAUUUUUCUACAAGGAAAUGAAAAGAGGAUCUUUCACAGUGGUCCUAUAAGUAGGGACCAUGUCAUUCCAACAAGCAAACCAAAACAGCCUUGCAAGCUUCUCAAUCCACUUCACUAAUCACUAACCUUGCAAAUUUUCACAACUCCAAAGAGCAAAACUAAAUUGUACGAGGUAGCAAAGCAACCCAAUCCUUCAGCAAAAAAUGAUCCUAACUUGCCCAAUGGACACUUGACAAGUGUCGCGGAUCGCAGCCAUCGGAUGCAAUUUGAUUGGCUCUUGAUCAGCCUCCGGAUCGUGUAGCGCAGUGGUGGCUAGCACGUAGGUAGCAACAAAGCCAUGGACAUGGAGCAUGAGCUCAGGGGCGGCGGCGUCGGGGCGGCGGCGCAUGGGCAUGGCUCCAUCUGCUUCUCCGGCGGGCCGGUGCUCGUCGACGGGCGACGCAUCCAGCAGCUGCUCCUCCACUGCGCCGCCGCGCUCGAGUCCAACGACGUGACGCUGGCGCAGCAGGCCAUGUGGGUGCUCAACAACAUCGCCUCCUCGCAGGGGGACCCCAGCCAGCGGCUCACGUCGUGGCUGCUCCGCGCGCUCGUCGCCCGCGCGUGCCGUCUCUGCGCGGCGGCGCCGGCGGGCGCCGCCGUGGAGUUUCUGGAGAGAGGCCGGGCACCGCCGUGGGGGAGGGCCAUGUCGGUGACGGAGCUCGCCGACUACGUCGACCUCACCCCGUGGCACCGGUUCGGCUUCACGGCGUCCAACGCCGCCAUCCUCCGCGCCGUGGCCGGCGCAUCCGCCGUGCACGUCGUCGACCUCAGCGUCACGCACUGCAUGCAGUGGCCGACGCUCAUCGACGUGCUGUCCAAGCGGCCCGGUGGCGCGCCGGCGAUCCGGAUCACCGUGCCGUCCGUGCGCCCCGCCGUCCCGCCGCUUCUCGCCGUGUCGAGCUCGGAGCUCGGAGCCCGGCUCGCCAUCUUCGCCAAGUCCAAAGGCGUGCAGCUGGAGUUCAACGUCGUCGAGAGCGCGACGACGACGUCUCCGAAGAAGACGUCGACGACGCUGUGCCAAGAACUCGCGUCCGUGCUGUCCGACCCGCCGUCGCUGGGGCUAAGGGACGGCGAGGCGGUCGUCGUGAACUGCCAGAGCUGGCUCCGGCACGUCGCGCCGGACACGAGGGACCUCUUCCUCGACACGGUCCGGGCGCUGAACCCCUGCCUGCUCACCGUCACCGACGAGGACGCCGACCUGGGCUCCCCGAGCCUCGCGUCGCGCAUGGCGGGCUGCUUCGACUUCCACUGGAUCCUGCUCGACGCGCUCGACAUGUCGGCGCCCAAGGACAGCCCGCGGCGGCUGGAGCAGGAGGCGGCCGUCGGGCGGAAGAUCGAGAGCGUCAUCGGCGAGGAAGACGGCGCCGAGCGCUCGGAGCCCGGCGCGAGGCUCGCCGAGAGGAUGAGCCGGAAAGGGUUCGCCGGCGUCGUGUUCGACGAGGAGGCGGCGGCGGAGGUGCGACGAUUGCUGAGCGAGCACGCCACGGGGUGGGGCGUGAAGCGGGAAGACGACAUGCUGGUGCUGACGUGGAAGGGGCACGCCGCCGUGUUCACCGGCGCUUGGACGCCCAACUAGUUGAGCCUAGCUUAGCAAUCUACAGUAUACAUCAAGUGAUUAAAGCUUAAGCUGGUGUUAGACUGUCUAUUAGCUCAGAAGUGACAACGGAGAAUCAACUGAGGAGGAAUUUCUGGUUGGAUUUAGUGGAUCGUUUUAAACUUCUACUUCCAUGACAAGAUAUUUCAGUUGAAUUCUUGAUGUUUUACUCUCAAUCUAGAUUGUUUUAGAUCAAUUAUAAACAUGCACCUCCCCCAAAUUAAUAUCCGUGAAUUACUGUUGGAAUCGAAAUAUUUUCUGGUGAGAAUGAUGAUUCAGAGGGAAAAAAACGGACGUGAGUUUGGAUGCUUAAUUGGGUUUAGGCCCAUUAUAUUGAAGCCUACACUAAAAUUCACAACCCAAUCCAAUUAUAAUUGGCCCAAAAGUUAUACAUCAUGUAAGAUUCAUAAGGCCCAAUAAUUAUUGGGCCGUGAUGAGCACGAUCCAAUUGCUACCCACAAGGCCACAAAUCCAAUCCCAUGGUCGCCCCAACCACCACCGCUGCAUCGCCGCCGGCGAUGGACCGGCGAGUCCAGCGGCUGGUCAGCGGCGUCGCCGCCGCCGCGGCCACCGUCUCGCUCCUGUACCUCAUCUCCCACGCCUCCACCUCCUGCUUCCCCGGCGCCACGACGCUUCCCCUCGCCCGCUUCCCGCGAACCUCCUGCGACGCCGCCUCCCGCCGCGUCGUGCCGCCGGGCCGCCGCCUCGCGAAGCUCCGCGCCUCCGCGCGCUGGCGCCGCCGCUCCGUGGCACUGGCAUCCUCCUCCGCAUUCGCCUCGCUCCGUGGCCUCCGCCUUCUAGCUGGCUCCUCCCGUGCCCUCUGCCUGGCCGCCGGCGCCGGCCACGCCGUCGACGCGCUCCGCGCCGAGGGGGUCGGUGACGUCACCGGGAUCGACUUCGUCGACUUCCCGCCGCUCGUUCGCCGCGCUGACCCCCACCACCUCCCCUUCUCUGACGGCGCCUUCGACCUCAUCUUCUCCGACGACCCCGCGGGGUUCUCCGGCGCCCUCUUCCCGUCCAGGUUCGCCGCGGAAGCCGAGCGCGCCGUCCGUUCUGGAGGCACCAUCGCGCUCGCCGUCGAUCGGCACCUCGAUCCGUCGGCCGUCGCGGUGCUCUUCAAGAGGUCCCGCAUUGUAGACCAGAGGGAUCUCACCAUGGAUGGAUCACAGGUUAGGAUGCUCAUCUUCCAGAGUAAUGGCACUACCUUGAACUCGCAUUAAUUCGUUUAUCAUUGAUUGAUGCCAUGUUAUGCUAAUUACUGUUUAUGUUCAUGUUGUAAUGUUAGAUGCGUGUAUAAAACUAAGCUCCGAUUAUGUGUAAAUUAAGCAAGGAAAAAUGUGACAUUAUCUAAUGCCAGUUGAUGUGCAUGAAUACUACCAUGGACCCAUGAUUUUCCUUCAGCCAUCACUUUUAUUUUGCUGCUACAAAAUACUAAAUCAGCAGCUACCAAAGCUACCAUUUCAUCAUAAAAAACAUGUGCUGAAGCCUGAAAUUGCUACUUAACAGACGAUACUGGAAUGCCCUCUAAAUAAUAACACAACCCAAAAGUUUCAUUUUUUUCCGAUGUACUUGUUAUGCGCUGCAAUUAGGAUAAACAUCAAUAAACUUAACCCUGAGUAUGAAGCUUCUUGGAGUUUGGCCAGUCCAUUUUCUUCGCUGCGACUGGUCACUUGUUGCUACAAGCUGCUUACUACGAUAGUUGAUUGAGAGACGUUAGUAGUUAAUUAAGCUAUUUGCAUCUGGCGCCACUGCCACACUUUGGAAGGAGAAAAGCAUAGUAUCUACUAUAAUACUACUUGAACACAGUGAAGAAAAUGGCUCACAUAUGAUAUCUUAAGAUCUUGUGCAAUCCUUUAAUGGCGUCACUAUUAAACAGGACAAUUUCUGAUAGGAAACUAAUCAUAAAUCAGUAGAUUUCCUUGUAUGGAGUAAGCAUUUAGUUAUCUAUUCUUCUUUCACUAACUUUUGGAGAGUGGUACCCUGCUAAGUGUUUAGAUUAGCAUCGAAAUAUAGGCAUAAGCAAUAUUGUCCUCAUUUCAGAAAACAAUGCAGGUCAAUGUUCACCAAGGUGCCAAGCCCUAAUCAGAAUGUGGGAUUACAUAACAGUGUCUAGCUCCUAAUUUGCGAUAGGACUAGGAUCAUUCACCUAGCUGGGAUGCAGAUCAGAAUGUAGGAUUACAUAACAGUGUCUCUUGCUUUUCAUCUUUCCAUGCAUUCUUCAUUUUGCAUAUUUGGAAGAAAUUAUUUUAUUAGAGUAAAGGCCAGAAGGCCAUGCUUUUUCUGAAAGCGAGUAGUUUUGCAGAGUUAUGCUGGGGUUACCAGCUUUACAUUCAACCCAGAGCACACAAGGCAAAAAGAGGAGGGCAACCAAAAUGCCAGAAAGCAGGGUAGAAAAACAGCUUAUAUCUAAUCGAAGCAGAAAAAACCACAACCAACUCCAGAACAGUACUCCUUAAGCAGUGAACAGUCUCUUGCAACGCUGCUAUCAGGGACUCCAAGGAACUGAAGGGAACAAUCUCACACUGUCUCAGCGACACCUUACACUGCAACAAAAGAUGAUAAGAAAAGGAAUUGUUAGGGGGGUUAGAACCAGCUUGUGUCUGAAAAUAAUGCCAUUUCACACAAUCCAGAGUUGCCAAUACGCUGCAAGACGAAGCAUAAUCUUAACUCUAGAAAGUUGAGAUCCAGUUCUCCCAAUGUCAAGGUUAAAAGAAUCCUGAAAGCUAAUAUAGGGAUCAUAUCCCACCCCAAGGCAACCCGACAAACACACCAAAUGAAUGUGUCUAUAGGGCAAGUAAAUGAAAUGUGAUUUGCAUCCUCUAACUGGUCACAGAGUUGACAAAAUUUAGAUCUCACCCAAUUUCUUCUCUUCAGUUGACUUGUAGACUGAAUUAUGUUUUUGCAAGCCAAUCAGGGAAAGUGUUUAUGUUUCAAAGGUAUGGGUGCACCCCAAAUAUCUUUCAUUCUCAGGUCUAGAACUCGUCUAAAGGUCAGGGCUCUAUAGACUGACUUUUGGUAGUACAAUUCCUGUUUUUCUCUGAAAGCCACAGGUUAGCUUAUCAGGAUUUGCUUGCAAAGCUACAUUUUGCAGCAAUCCUUCUAGCUCUUCCCAAGAAGUUAACUCAGCGGUCCCAAAAGACCUCGUGAACGUUAAAAUCCAUAUUUGGAUGGAAUUAUGACGAAGGUGUCUCUCUUUUUUGCCAAUGAUUGUCCACCUAUCCCUUUAUUUGCAACAUCUAUAAUGGCAUAAGACAUAUAUAGUACAAUGUUUUGUUCUCUUCUAUUGCUGUUCUGUUGGCUUUGUGUUCUCUUCUACCUCAUCAUGCCUGCCUGCCUGCUGAAUUUUCUUCGUUGGAGUCUUCGUCUUUCCUGGAUGCAUGCAUAUCCACGGCUGGAAAAUGUGUGGAAUGGUAGAAUGAUUGGUCUUUUUCUAGGUAAAAUCAAUUCAAAGUCUUUUCAGUAACUGUUCACCAUUGACAAACUGCGGUAAAUGUUUGUUCUUGCCGGGCCUUUGUUGAUGGGCGACACCUCGAGGCCCAGCGACUU
Molecule: long non-coding RNA, 67186 nt
Filed under: Oryza sativa (Asian cultivated rice)
Lineage: Eukaryota; Viridiplantae; Streptophyta; Magnoliopsida; Poales; Poaceae
Description: long non-coding RNA (OSAT_LNC001027)
Rfam family: MIR812 microRNA precursor family (bases 25647-25854)
Source: RNAcentral